GAUAUCAUAUGGACUGAGACAUGGAUUAUAAUCAUUCUCUCUGUCCAUUUGUUGUUUCCCGAUUUCCGAUUUAUGACGACUGACUAAUUGAACAAAUCAAAUCAGUCCUGGCCCGGCCGAGCACUUCCAUUUGUCAUCAUCAAAUCAUCGAGGGGCCCACAGAUAUCGCUUUUAUCCCGAAGGUAAAAGGAACGGAUAAACUUCGACUCAUAUGGCUUGUUCUACUACUUGUUGAAUCAUACACAAAGGCACGUUUUAUAGCACCGAGUUACCAAAUGCGUUUUCGUGCAAUCAAUGUACUAUCAACUCAUAGUAACAACUCAUAUCUCUAGGUUUGAAGAAUAUAAGAUAUUAUCGUCUCAUGAUCACUCGUGAUAAAAUCCAUGAAGUGAUUCCAAUGAGCGCGGGUUGAAUCCAAUACUCAGAACUUAUGAGCACUCAUGAGUGUUGUAGCCUUGUCCAACACCUUAGACCUCUACAACCCAUCAUGACAGUCUUAAUUCAUAUCUACUUCCAACAUAUGACCGACUGUGGAUGGUUUGAAUAACUUAGUCAUUCCGGAAGAAUAACCCAGUUUAUUCGGGAAGUCAAAACAUGCAAAGUGAAACACAAUAAUAAUUGAAUCCAAUAUGGUAUCAACCCUUUGAACAUAAAUAAAACACCUUUUAUUUAUCACCAUAUGAUUACACAUUAUUCAUUGUAUACUGUUUCAGCUAUCAACUUUAUUCUUGAAUUUAAAACAAUAGUUGUCCCAUGCUCCAAGCAUGUACACUAUGUUUUCUUAAACACUAGUCAUGCCACACACCAAGUAUGCAUACUAUGUUUGUCUAUGAUCUUUACUUUGUGAACUAGAUCAAUUGAACAUAACUUCAAUGAUUCUCUUUUCACACUCCCAAAUCCUUACUGCAAAUGCAAGAAUUCCAAAUUCAUGCCAUUUACUGAAAUCUGUUAGAUUCUAAACUUAUAUGCAUUGAUCCUCUUGUAAUGAUUAUGCACAAAGUCAGAAAGACUUGACAACAAUCAUUACAGAGUAUUCCAAAGGAGAUCAGCUCCUUGGAAACAUCCUUCUUGCAUUAAGUUUCCUAAUCUUAAACAGAUUGAAAAUUCUAACUUUGAAACAUUUCCAGAUUCCAUUUUGACUAUCACUUCUGAACAAGAGUUGCCUCCUUACAGAUUAUGUCAAUAUGGUCCUUCCAGAAUUAAUACUAUACUUCCAACUGUCCUUGAGCAACCAAUCUUUGGUACACCUUAGAUUCAUCGACAAUUGCUUAACCACUUUAGUCAUAUCCAAUUCUAGACCUUUUCCAUCCUUAAUGCCCCAGGCAUUUGGAAAAUUUUAGAAAGGAUGAAUAUAGCACAUGUAAUCGAUGCUAUAUCCGAAGCAUAUUGGACACGAUUCAUGAUGUCUCACAUAAUGACUAAGCCAGUCUUUUACUAUAAUAUUUCCAUUUCAAUUUGCCAAGUUCUCAUAAUUUAAGAUUAUGAAAAGGGAUGUCGUAAUCAUAAUCGAAUUUGAGAACGCAAAUAAUGAACCCAUAUAUAGAAUUUCCUUAUGUUGAGCCAUUCCAACAUGAUAUUCAUAUAUAUUCUUGACUAAAUACGAUUAAAACCUCAAUCUAAGCUUUUAGAUUUGAGAUGAAGUAUAAUUUCCUCUCCCUUAAUUAUAGCAAAANUGAACAUAAAUAAAACACCUUUUAUUUAUCACCAUAUGAUUACACAUUAUUCAUUGUAUACUGUUUCAAAUUAUCAACUUUAUACUUGAAUUAAAACAAUAGUAGUCCCAUGCUCCAAGCAUGUACACUAUGUUUUCUAAACACUUGUCAUGCCACACACCAAGUAUGCAUACUAUGUUUGUCUAUGAUCUUUAAUUUGUGAAAUAGAUCAAUUGAACAUAACUCCAAUGAUCCUCUUUUCACAGUCCCAAAUCCUUAUUGCAAAUGCACGAAUUCCAAAUUCAUGCCAUUUACUGAAAUCUGUUAGAUUCUAAACUUAUAUGCAUUGAUACUCUUGUAAUGAAUAUGCACAAAGUCCCAAAGACCUGACAACAAAUAUUACAGAGCAUUCCAAAGGAGAUCAACUCCUUGGAAACAUCCUUCUUGCAUUAAGUUUCCUAAUCUUACAUAGAUUGAAUAAUUUCUAUCUUUGAAACAUUUCCAUAUUCCAUUUUGACUAUCACUUCUGAUCAAGAGUUGCCUCCUUACAGAUUAUGUCAAUAUGGUCCUUCCAACAAUUAACACUAUACUUCCAACUGUCCUUGAGCAACCAAUCUUUGGUAAACCUUAGAUUGUCCUCGACAAUUGUUUAAUCCUUUUAGUCAUAUCCAGUUCUAAACCUUUUCCCUUCUUAAUGCCCCAGGCAUUUGGAAAAUUUUAGAACGGAUGAAUAUAGCACAUGUAAUCGAUCCUAUAUCCGAAGCAUAUGGGACACGAUUCAUGAUGUCUCACAUAAAGACUAAACCAGUCUUUUGCUAUAAUAUUUCCAUUUCAAUUUGCCAAGUUCUCAUAAUUCAGAUUAUGAAAAGGGAUGCCGUAAUCAUAAUCGAAUUUUAGAACGCAAAUAAUGGACCCAUAUAUAGAAUUUUCUUAUGUUGAGCCAUUCCAACAUAACAUUCAUAUAUAUACUUGACUAAAUUUGAUUAAAAUCUCACGAUCUAAGCUUUUAGAAUUGAGAUGAAGUAUAAUUUCCUCUCCCUUAAUUAUAGCAAAACAACUUUUUCCCAAUUGAAAACUUUUGUUUUCUAUAAUUAACAUUGCUAACUUGCAAUACUUAUCAUAAUUAUCAUGCUCCCACUAACAUGAUGAUUAUUAGCAUAACACUUAUGCUCCCACUAGCUUUGACAUGUACUCAGAAAUCAGCUGGACUUCUAGAAAUCAAUACUUUAUUGACUUUCUUACCAAAGUUCAGAUUUCUGAUACUAGAUUGUUUUGAUAAAACUUUAUCAAAAUCAUACACCUUCCCUUAGAUAGCACACUUGUGUAUCUAAACAAUUAUGAAGAGGGAUGCCGUAAUCAUAAUGUUUAGACCCCUUUGCCACUUCUCACAAGUCCAUGUUAGUGUGCCGGUUAACCACACAAGCUCCACUACUGACUUUGAGAAUGCAAAUAUCACAAUUGCUAUCUACUUCAAAUCUACUUAUUGGAAGUCUUUCCUCACCAUCAUUUUCAUGAAUCGGAGAUAAACCUUAUGACACUUAGAUUUUAUGGUGUAUGUGUUCUUAUCCAUGUGAAUUUGUCAAACCAUAAUCACAAGACUAGGUUAGUGACAAAUCCUAACUCAUAUGGAUUGAACUUUUGCAAUCUUACAUUCUUGCCACAUGGCAGCUAAAGGGCCUGCCAUUGCUUCCAAGUUGCCAUGCAACCAAUUGAGAACUCUAAGAACUCAUAUGCAAAGCCAUCUUUAAUUGGAAUGGGCAUAGAAUGUGACAACACGAUAGGUUAUACACCUCAAUUCGUGUGCUAGUGAAGAACUUCAGGUUUUAUUCUUGAUUAGUUCUUGAGACUUUCAAGACCUUUAAGACUCCCACUGUCCUCUUGACAUAUAAGACUUUCUUGUCAAAUAUUCAAGAGAUAGUGUGGAUUCUAAUCAAGACAGACACUUCACACAAUUGGCCUUAUUUGGUCUUUGUUUUAUCCAAAACAUCACAACUUACCAAUUUCAAAUGUACAAGAGUAGAAAACUUUUACUCUUACAUUUCACAUGUGUUUUAAACCUUCUCUAAGAUAUGUCACUCAAGUUACAAUCUUGGAGUAUGAAUCUAAGACUUGUAUUGGAACGAAGUAUGACUCAGUUUCUUGAUUUAACCGUUUCAACAAUUCAAGAUUCCUAUUCUUAGUCAUAAGAAUGACCUAAGAUUUCCUUAGAGAACUAAUUGUGCUAUGGUUUCUUAAUCAUUAAUAUGAUCACAAAAAUUGAUACUAAGUACUCUCCCAUCUUUUCAGAUUUGAGAAACUUUUAUCCUUCUGCCUAAUUUGAUUCUUCUUAUCGAUCUUUUGUGGUGGACUUAAUCAGUGCACAAGAAUGUGUACUCGAUCCCUUAGUCCUUUACUUGACUCACACAUCCAUGUGAACAAGUAAUUAGUCUUAAUUUUCCAAUACUUGAAAGUUCUCAUUCAUCAUGCUAUACAACUUGCAUGAUUCCAAGUUUCGGUCCAAUUGAAACUUGGGUGAUGAGAAUCUUUCCUUAUUUGGUAAAUUUAGACAUUACCACAAAUGAAAGAAUCAAAUUCACUUUCCAAUAUUGCUAUCAAUGGAAUCUUAUAAGCAACAAUUUUCCACAAACGCCAUUGUAAGGAUAGAUAAAAUAAAUAAAAUAAAAAUUUUCCUUUUAUUUUAAAACUUUUCAGAAAAACUUAUCCUUACAAUCCAUAUGAAAACUUGUUAUUAUCUAUUCCUAAGCAAUAUCUCAUAACUCCUAAGAAGUAGCCCAAGAUUCGAUCUUCAAACUAUGCGAUAGAAAUCCAUCUACGCGAUCAGAUUCAACAUAUUCUUUCUUUAAUUUCCUUCACUUUUCUUUGAUUCUUAAAACAUCACCAUGUGACCCAGUCACAUCAUGUAUCAAGAAUCUCAGAAUAGAAACUUAACAGAGUUAGAUAGUGGACUUUACCUGAAGUAGAGUCAAACUUAUUGACUUUAACAUCCUUAGGUAAAUUUGGCAGCUUCGCAACCAAUGCCCCUUCCUUUGGCAAUAUAAACAUAUGGACCCUUUGAUAAUGGUACACGGGACUAUCACAGACUUAGCUUUUCUCUUUACCAUUUGGUCAACCGAGUUGACUAUGGCCGAUCCCUUUCCAUUGGGAAGAGAAUGCUUUUCUGGAUUUCCUGUGUCACUAUUGUCAAUGUCCAUCAAGUUUUAAGGAAGUUGAUCUUAACAAAUAGAUAAGAUCAUUAAGGGUCUUGUCAUAGUCUGUUUCAUAGGUGUCCCAAAGGAACUCACUAUGUGACUUAGAAAGUGAUUGAACCACCAACUUUCUCAAGACUUUGACACCCAACUCUCCCGGCUUGUCAAUAUGUGACUACAUCUCCAAGAUGUGAUCACACCUAGACCUUGCCUUGCCAAUAGGGCUUGAGUGACCUUAAACUUUUCAAGAACUUGUGGGUUAGGGAGAAUAAUUGGAGGAGGUGAAAGAAGUAUGAUUUCCAUGGGACAUCAUCUUCAUUUAGGAAAGCUUGUUUCAAGAGAUUUGGGAAGAUCAUAGAUGUCUAAACCAGACAUCUUUUGGGAGAUAUUCAAGAUAGUUGAUUUAAAGUCCUUAAUAUGACACCCAAUAUGAAAUAUUAAGGCUAGGACCCAACAAACUAUUUUAUAACUUAGAAGAGGUAUGCCGUAAUCCAAGCUAUAAAAUAUUUGAAGGUAGGUGAAUGACGAUUCACCAAUUUCCACCAAGAUAAACGAAAUGUAUUAUUAGGUUUUAAUUGGUUUUGAAACUCCUAGAUCUUUGAGAUUCAUUGAACUGUUCAAUGGCAUGUUUCAAUCUCGAGUGUGCCCUUCAGGUUUUGUGACUGGGAUGCCGAGGAUCACAAAACAAGGUGUGAAGUAACCAUGCAAAUUACUUGGUACCCUUAAGUGUUUACCCCUCAAUCGAUGUGCCGGUUAACCACACACGCUCCAUCGAUACUAUGAUAAACAUUAAGUUACCCUUUGCCUACCUUGUUAAAUACGAGUUAGUGUGCCGGUUAACCACACACGCUCCACUAACCGACUUAAACAAAGUGCAAAGUGUAAUUUCAUGGAUUAGCACCUUAUUCACAUUUUCCUAAGUAACUAAGAUUGGGUAUUUAUAAAAGGUUUAGUUACUUAGUAUUUAUCAUUAAUACUUUUAAUGAAGGGAGAAUUCUAGUCCUUGUCCUACCCGUUCGGCUAACGACCCUCCACCGGUCAAGGAAGCGGUGGGUGAAAGUGGACACCCAUUAAACUGCCAUUUUAUAGGCAGUAACCUUAUACCCCCUUAUAGACCGGCAUCGUGAAUGAGGCCUACUAACGGUAAGACUGGCUUUACUCUUAUACAUAUAUAUAAAUAUUAUUAACUUAUAAUAUUAUAAAUAUAAGGGUUGAAUUUUAACUUUUAAAAUUCUAAGGGCUAACUUGGAAUUAAAGUAUUCAUAAGUGAAAACUUUGCAAAUUCCAAAACUUGAGGGCGAGUUUUGAAACUUUUCAAAACUAAUUAGUUCCAUAACUUAUGUGUUUAAAGUAGUUUUAAUCCAAAAACUCUUCAAGUUCCAUAACUUGAGGACAAGUUAUGGAAGGCUUUAAACUAAUAAAAGAAUGUAACUUUUCUUUAUUUUGUAACUUAUGGAAUUAAUUAAGGUUACACAUUUUAUUACUUAAUGAAGUGACUCUUGAACGUCCAUAACUUGAGGACAAGACUCUUCAUUUUUGUAACCAUUGCCAACUUUUAUGAGUUUUAAGAAACUUAAAUAUGACCCUUCAUGUAACUUGAGGACAAGUUACACAAACACAUUUUAGAAUCAUCUCUUAGAUUAAAAUGGAUUGAAAACAUAUAAUCAAUUAACUUAUCUAUUAAUCUAAGCAACUCAUAUGAACAAAGAUAAUUCACAUCAAACUUUUUCAUGUAAUUAGCAUAACUUUUAAACUAAUACAAAACAUGAAUCUAUUGACAAUUAUCUUUGAAAUUGGAUUAUUUAUGAACAUUACCGCAUCAAAAACAAGUUCAUAAGAUCAAAAACAGCUUAGGGUUAUAUUCCUAGUCCAAUUCCAGCCAAAACAGCAAACGGCAAGCUGUCAGCACCCAAAACUCUUCGAGUUUCAUCGAGUUCAUGCCCAAAAUGAUGUACUCAUCGAGUUUUUGGCAUAAAGUCAUAAAGUUUUAUGGUCUGGACAGAUUCAACUUUGAAAAAAAAACAAAUUUGCAUCAAGUAUAAGAGAAAGCAAGCCUAGGCUAUGAUACCACUGUUGGGUUUUGAGCAUUCUACACUCCUAAGUGUACAUGCAACCCUACAUACCUUAGAUCUAUGUUUUCUCUAUUAUACAUGCAAAUAUGAACUUUCGAAGGUAUUCAUCCUAACUAGCAUAAUAACAUUGAUUCAUAUGAAUAUAUCAAGUUAGAAUUACAUACCUCUUUGAUGUAGAAUGUCUUCAUGAAGCUUGAGUGCCUAGUGCCCCAAGUGUGACACCUCAAAUGGUUCACACAACACCAAAUACAGUUGGAAUAGAUUAGAGAGAAAUCCACACUUCAUAAAAUCGGCUAGCCCUUUCACAUAUAUUCUAGUGCCGAUUUUGUCACCAAUAAGAUCUUUAUAUAGUGUUACAAUUAGGGUAAACCCUAAUUGUCAUGGCUUUCCAUUUCAUUGGAUCCAUGGGUUGAAAUGCACCAUGGAGCAUCCUAUGGGUUUUAGCCCAACUUGAUAAUCCAUGGAGCAUUAGCCCACUAUACAAGUAUGGAUGAUUUACAUAAUCAACCCAUAUAUUUAAUUAGUCUUCUUUUGAUCACUUAAUUAAUCCUAGAUUAAUUCUUGAUCAAUACUAAUUAAAUAAUCUUAUUAAUAUAUUAGAACUUAUAAUAUAUUAACAAACCUUAAGUGUUAUUUCUCUCAUUAUAGUCUAUCCAAAUUCAUGAUGCCAUGCAACCCAAAUGGACAAUGCCGCGUCGGGUCAACUCUUACCAAUUAUAGUUAUGGACUUAGACAUUAAUCCAACACAGAGAACACUUCAUAUGGACUUAUAAGACCUUAAAUCACAACUUGGCACUUAGUACCAUGAGUUUACGACUGUAAACUCAUGAGGAAAUGGUCCUUGGGCCGUAAACUCAUGUGGUUCAUACCAUAUGGACCAUAAACUCCCAACUGAGGCCCUACACCCCUUAUAUGCAAUCCUAAGUGGUUUAACACUUCAAUACAAGUGUUUCCUAUUCCCUAAGGUUGUUCAAUUACCUACUUAGUUGUUAUAAACACUAAUUGUAAGCAUAUAUGUGUCAUUAUAUGUUAAAUAGGAUCCGUGUGUGCUCAAGUCCUCACUUGACACUUAGAAUCCUUUACCGAUCUUAUAUUCGCAUCACUCACCUCAGGUGAGUUCAUACCCCAUAAAAUUAUCUUUUAAAUGCUUUUAUGGGGGGGGGGGAUACAAGUAGAAAACAUGCUAGUUAUAAGAUCAAUCACAUGUGACNCACAUGUAAUUUAUAACUGUGUUUCAAUCAAGGAUUUCAUAUACUUCAAACUGUGUUUCAAAACAAACUACUUUUAAAUUGUGUUAUAAACUGACAUCAAGUCAUUAUUUAUUUAUUGUUCGAAACUCUUUAAAUGUAUUACAAAACCUAUUUUUAACUUAUAUAUACUGUCAAAAGCGUGUAUAUUUAUGUAUAGUUAUAUACAUAAUGUUUAAAGGACUUAGGACUGCUAGCUCGCUUCAUUUCAUUUUCCUUGUUUGGAUGUCGACUUAGGUACCGGCCAGUUGUCUGAAGGUCAUCUAAAUAUUAGAUAUAAUUAUGUAUACAUAUGUAGACAUAAAAUUUCUAUUCAAUCAGUUCAGUACCUUUGGGUAGCAAGGGUAUACAUUCAUCUAUUCAUAUACAUAGCUUACUAGUAAACUAUAAUAGGUAUGGCUUAGGAGAAUACUAUCAUAUACAAGUGCUAUAACAGAGAAUACUAUAACAGAGAGUACUAGAUAGAGAAUACUAUAACAGAGAAUACUAUACAAAGGAUACUAUACAAAGGAUACUAUACAAAGGAUACUAUACAGAGAAUACUAUUACUAUAACAAGUAUACUAUAACAAGAUUCAGAGAUAACAUAAUGUGAGAUACCACUUCGUGACACAUCGACGAUUUCGUUAUCUCUCAUUUUGUAACCAGAAUCUCCUAGAGGGAGAGCGUGAGUUUGCGUAUAGAUCUAUACUGGAUUGACUAUCCUACACCUUUGCUGUUCGCUACAGUGGGACUUGCAAGUCUACGGGUGCUAAAUGUCAUUUCUUCCGAUGUCUUUCAUCGUCGUGUUAUAGUCAGAUUAGUAUGGUAACAAUCGUAUCACAUUUUCCUUAAUUAAACCAUUGGUUUUAAGGUAGUUAUUACUUCAGUGAUUAAUGCAAAUGAUACUGCAGUACACAUAUACAUUUUCCCAUUAUAUUAAAACUGUGAUCUUCUCACAUAAAGGGUAAUAUAAAACUAUAUUUUGGUAAUGAUAGUCAUACUUGGGAAAAGCUUUCACUUUUACAAGGAGACAAACAUACAAAACAGUCGGGUCUUGGUAGAAGACUACUUUUUAUACUAGUAGAAAAUAUAGGAUUUUCUAGGAGUUUUCAAACAUAUAUAAACAUUUACAUUGUUCAAUUACAAACAUUUUAAUCAAACUUAUACAAACAUUGACACUAAAUACUUAUGAACUCACCAGCUUUAAUGCUGAUCUAUGCUUUCAAAAUAACUUGUAUUCUCAGGUCACUAGUAGACAUGUACCAAUGAUCAGGUUUUGAGAAGACGGAGCAUCUUCAAGACUCGUCUUUUAUUUUGAUUAUUCUUUUUGGUGUCUUAUUACUAUUAAAGAACACACUUGUAUGAAAUUAUACUAUUAAUGCAAUGGAUGAUGUUGUUUUUCUUAUUUACUACUUUGCAUUGUUAUGAUACUGUACACGACGUCCUCCGCCCCAGAACGUUUCCGCCGUUCUUGGUUUUGGGGUGUGACAGAUUGGUAUCCGAGCAUUGUUUAUAGUGAAUCGAGUAUAUCAACCCAUAAAAGAUAUACUAACUUUAAAUACAUUGGGAUUAAAAUACUCUGACCAGGAGUUUAUACUUUUAAGUACUAAAAUACAUAACAAGAAGUAUACCUAAUUACAUACCUACAUACUUACUAAAGAUCAGUGUCAUACUUGAACAUAAAAAAAGUAUUACAAUUUUUGAACAUCACAAGUGAGCUCUGGGAUGUAUGGUCAGUCCUGGGAAUGACAUAGCCUGAUCAACUAUGCUGGUCCGAGAAGUGAUUAGCAUAUGCCGAGAAUGGUUGUGAUGUAUCAACAAGAAUAAGAACUUACCAACACCACUGUAGCUAGCAACACGGUGCGGGGUAGUCAGUCCCGUAUAGAUCUGUACACAAAAGUCACGUUCUCCCUCCAGGAGAUUCUGGUUAUAGGGUUAGUCGUACACUCUCGAAUCUGGGGAAGUGUUACCAAGGACAGUCUCCAAUCUUAAGAAUAACGAAUUUACAAGUAAUAAUAUGGAAAAUCCCGUUUUAUGAUUGGCAUGAAUCCUUUGUAAAAUAUAAAAUAUAACAUUUUAUGAUAAGCUUUUCAAGUUUCCUUGUUUUAGAUUUGAAAACUAACUUUAGAAGUUAAUUUCUUAUUUGAUUGGUUAAACGGUUUUCUGUGUUAAAAGCAUGUUGAACAUGUAAACAUUUCAUAAGAAAUAAGAAGUUUUGAGUACAAUUUCCAUUGUACUUUUGCUUGUAUUCCCCCCUGAAAACAUUAAAAACUCGGAAAAAGGUAGGGGUAUGAACUCAACUGACGUGAGCGUGCCGGGUUAGGACGCUAGGUAUUAAUUUAGGACUUGAACACACGCGAGGGUCCUAGGUAACAGAAAGUUAUACAUAAUUGUAUCUAAUUAGUCAUUAAACCACUAAUUAAGCACGUAAAUACAUUCUAACGCGAGGAAAAACUUUAUUUCAAGUGUUAGGAAUGGUAUGGGUUGCAUCUAAGGAGUGUAUGGUCUCGUUAAGGAGUUUAAUCUUCAAGUGUAAUCCCUUAGGGGGUGUUUACGGUUUCAAGACCAUAUCCCCAUGAGUUUAUGGCCGUAAACUCAUGGGAGUGGUGUUAUUGGUUGCUCAAAGGUCUUAUGCUUCACAAAGAAAGGUCCUAGGGUUGAAUCAAAGGUCAUGAAAGUGUUUGGGGCUUGAAAUGGACCCUUUAUGGAGUUUACGGUUUCUGAACUACUCCUUGGGGAGUUUACGGUCGUAAACUCAUGAGUUUAUGGCCGUAAACUCAUGUUUUUCCAUUUUUCAUGUGUUUUGGUGGUUAUAGGUUAAGCAUGAAAAGUUCUAGACCCAAAUAUAAGCCAUACAAGGUGUUAAGGGCACUUAAACACCCUUUGGAGGUGUUUACGGUUUUGGGAGAUUCCUAAACCGUAAACUCAUGUUUACUCCCUUAAAUUCAUGUUUUGUGGUUCUUAGAUCAUUCAUGCAAGUCUUGAGGUCAUAAGCUAAUCAUUGGAAAGGUUUUGGAAGGGUUUUGGGGCAUAAAAACCCGCUUUUAGGGUGUUUACGGUUUUGGGAUGUUCCCAAACUGUAAACACAUGUUCUUGGUGUUUUUGAAUGAUUAAACCAAGGAUUUUCAAGUAUUCGGGUCCCCUCUUUGCAUUCCAGCGAACCUUCACUAUUAGGAUGCGGCUUUGUUUCGUUCGUUUGAUCUCCCGAUCCAUGAUUUCGAUUGCUUCUUCCACGAAGUUCAGAUUUUCAUUAAUCUCGAUCUCAUCAAGAGGGAUUACAAGGGUUUCAUCAGAUAGACACUUUUUAAGAUUAGAGACGUGGAAGACAGGGUGGAUGUUGCUAAGCUCUUGAGGUAAUCAGAGUUUGUAGGCUACGAGACCAAUCCUAGCAAGGAUCUCGAAAGGUCCUAUGUACCUUGGGUUCAAUUUCCCAUGCUUUCCAAAGCGUACCAUGCCUUUCCAGGGCGAGACCUUCAACAGGACACGAUCUCCAACCUGGAAUUCCAAAGUUUUUCGUUGUUUAUCGGCGUAGCUCUUUUGUCUGUCUCGUGAAGCUUUCAGUCGUUCUCAGAUUUGAAUGAUCUUUCCGGUGGUUUCGCAGAUGAUUUUAGGACCAGUGAGAGCACUGUCGGGGACUCGACCCUUAGCUAGAUACGUGUCCCCUACCUCGGCCCAGCACAGAGGGGAUCUGCACUUGCGACCGUAGAGGGCUUCGAACGGGGCAGCCUUGAUACUGGUGUGGUAACUGUUGUUGUACGAGAACUCGAUCAAGGGUAAAUGAGUUUCCCAUGACUUUCCGAAAUCGAUGACACAUACUCUUAACAUUUCUUCCAAGGUUUGGAUAGUUCUCUCACUCUACCCAUGUAAAUGAGGAUGAUAAGAUGUACUCAUAUCCAUCUUAGUUCCAAGAGCUUUCUGAAGGGACUACCAAAAUCUCGAGGUAAACCUGCUAUCUCGGUCGGAGAUAAUGGACACAGGUACACCAUGUAGUCAGACCACUUCUUGAAUGUAGAUUCGCGUGAGUCUUUCCAUCUUGAAUAUUCCUUUGAUCGGUAGGAAGUGAGCGGAUUUUGUCAAUUGAUUGACAAUUACCCAAAUGGUAUCGUACCCACUCGGAGAUUUGGGUAAUUUGGUAUUGAAAUCCAUAGUAAUCAUCUCCCAUUUCCACUCAUGUAUCUCGAGCUGUUGGAGCAGACCUGAGGACAUCUGAUAUUCGACCUUCACCUUGGCGCAAGUCAGACACUUGCCCAUAAAGGUAGCGAUUUCGGCUUUCAUGUUUGGCCACCAGUAUAGUUUCUUGAGAUCUAGGUACAUCUUAUCCGAACCUAGGUGAAUGGAGUAUAUGGUCUUGUGAGCUUCGUUCAUGACAACCUUCCUGAAACCUCUGAACUUUGGGGUCUAGAUUCGAUCCAUGAAACAAUAGACUCCAUCACCUCUGAUCUCAAGAUUCUUAUCCAUUCCCCUCAAGGCUUCAUUCAACACCUUCUCUGGUUUUAGAGCUUCCAACUGAGCAUCUCGGAUUUGUGCGGAUAAGUGGGAAUGGAUGGUCAUUGUCAGUGUUUUUGCCUUGUUGCCUGAGCUUUCCUUCCGGCUAAGGGCAUCUGCCACCACAUUGGCCUUGCCAGGAUGGCAGCGGAUUUCGCACUCAUAGUCACUGAGCAGCUCUACCCAUCGCCGUUGUCUCAUGUUUAAGUCGUUCUGAUCGAAGAUGUGUUGUAGGAUUUUAUGGUCCAUGAAGAUCGUGCACUUGGUCCUAUAAAGGUAAUGUCUCCAAAUCUUCAGUGCGAAGACUACUGCUCCUAACUCCAGGUCGUGAGUUGUAUAGUUGACUUCGUGUGCCUUCAGCUGUCUUGAGGCAUAAGCAAUAACUUUUCUCCUCUGCAUAAGCACACAACCUAAGCCCUGAUUGGACGCAUCACAGUAGACAACGAAGUCCUCCAUCCCUUCGGGCAGGGACAAGAUAGGUGCGCUGCACAAGGCUUGCUUCAACGUUUGGAAUGCAGCGCCUUGCUUUUCAUUCUAACAAAACUAUACCCUUUCUGUGUCAGAGUAGUUAAAGGUUUGGCAAUUCUAGAAAAAUUCUGGAUGAAUCUACGAUAAUAGCCGGCAAGACCCAAGAAUUGACGGAUUUCUGUGGUUGUCUUCGGUGCCGACCAAUUCUCUAUCGCUUUGAUUUUGGAAGGGUCCACAUGUAUGCCUUCCUUGCUUACUACGUGACCUAAGAAUGUUACCUUCUGAAUCAAGAAUUCGCUCAUGGAGAAUUUCGCGCACAACUUCUCCGUCCUUAGGGUUUCCAACACUAAUCUCAAGUGUUGUUUGUGAUUUUCCUCGCUUCUGGAAUAGACAAGUAUAUCGUCUAUGAACACGAUAACAAACGUGUCUAGGAAAGGGCGACACACCCGGUUCAUCAGGUCCAUGAACACUACCGGUGCGUUGGUUAGACCAAAGGGCAUCACUACAAACUCGUAGUGACCAUAUCGAGUCCUGAAUGCAGUCUUGGAAACAUCACUCUCAUGAACUCGUAGCUGAUGGUACCCUGAUCUAAGGUCUAUUUUCAAGAAGUAACUGGCUCCCUGAAGUUGAUCGAAAAGGUCAUCUAUUCGAGGAAGAGGAUAACGGUUUUUAACAGUCAGCUUGUUCAGCUCACGGUAGUCUAUACACAUCUGAAAGGAUCCAUCUUUCUUUUUCACAAAUAAUAUCAGGGCUCCCCAGGGUGAGGAACUCGGUCUGAUGAACCCUUUGCUGAGCAGCUCAUUAAGCUGACUAGAUAACUCCUACAUUUCUGCUGGCGCUAAGUGAUAUGGGGACUUGGCUACGGGGGUAGCUCCGGGAAUUAGUUCUAUGCGAAACUCAACUUGGCGUUCGGGAGGAAUUCCUGGGAGCUCUUCGGGAAAGACAUCAGGAAAGUUGUAGACUUUGGGGAUGCUCUCGAGGUCUUUAACUUCCUGUUUCUCGUUAAUUACAUGAGCUAGGAAUGCAUGGCACUCCUUUCGCAGGAGAUUUUAGGCUUUGAUGCAUGCGAAUAUUGGAACUAAGUUUAUCGCCGUAGAUCAUGAGGGUCUGGUCAGAGGGAAGAUUGAGACAGAUAGCGUUUUUGUAACAAAGGAUAUUAGCAUGAUUGGGACUCAACCAAUCCAUGCCAACGAUAACAUCAAAGCUUUUUAUCGACACCGGCAUAAGGUCGAUGGGAAAGGAAUGGUUGUUCAGGGUAAGGGUGUAGCCUAUGAAUAUAUCGUUAGCGUUCUCUUUAUCGCCGUUAGCCAUCUCGACAGUAAAUGUUUCGGUUAAUGGUUGAGGACUAUGUUUAAGAAGAUGUUUGAAUGAAUGGCUAACAAAACUUCGUUCCGCACCAGAAUCGAAAAUGAUGUAUGCAUAAGAGUUGUCGAGAAGGAACGUACCCAUGAUAACGGUGGGAUCGGCGACUGCCUACUCUUGUCCCAUAGUUAGAACUCUCCCGGUGUUGUUGAUUGUUGUUGCUUUGGGGCAGUUUCGCUUGUAAUGCCCGAUCUCACCACAAUCAUAGCAGGUUUGACUUACACCUGCUUCGGAUGUUUGAUUUGUUGGUUGGGCUGAUGUUUUGCAGCUCCAAGCAGUGUGGGCCUUUUUGCCACAGUUGUUGCAGAGCAUCUUACGAUAGGGGCUGGAAGUGAGAUGAUGAUAGUUGCACUUGUCGCACCGAGGAAGGGUACCAGCAUAUAUACCGGUAGGUGCUUGAGUGGCAGGGGUAGCAACAGGGGUAGUAGCAGCGUGGAUUGCUACUGUUUGCUGUUUCUUUGAGGGCUCUUGAGAAGACUGACCCUUCUUCUGUUUCCAGAAUUUUCUUUUCUCACCACUCCCUUUAGCCGGUUCAGAAGUGGUGGUCACUUCAUCGAGAUCGACUCCAUGAUCGAUCAUAGUCUACGCCAAGCACUUAGCACUGUCAAAGGUGUUUGGCCUAUCAACCAAAACAUUUCCCUUGGUUGGAUGGGUCAGCCCCCAAAUGAAUCUUUCAAUCUUUUUGCUUUCCGGGGUGACCAUUCCCGGACAAAGGAGCGCUAGGUCUUCAAACCUAUAAGUGUGGCGGCAACAUCGGAACCCUUCAUCUUUAGGUUCCAGAGUUCAUGCUCCAAUUUCUGCAUUUCACCCUGCGGGCAGUACUCGACAAGCAUUAACUCCUUCAAGCACUCCCAACCCAUGGCGUUUGUUACUGGCAGGGUUAAGGAUCUGACUCAGCCAUUCCACCAAGUCAAUGCUUUAUCGGUGAAAAUGCAGGCGGCGAAUUUCACCUUGUUGUUUUCCGAGCAAGAACAAAUUUCAAAGAUAGACUCGAUCUUCUCGAACCAUCGAGUCAGGGUAAUGACACCUCCAGUGCCAUUAAAAGAUGUGGGUUUCGCAUUCAUAAAGUCUUUAUAGGAACACUCCUUCUGGUGUCCUUGGCCACCUUCCUGGUUUUGGGGCUGAGUACCACCUCCUAGCCCGCCAGGACCGCCGGGGUUCAUCUGUGACAUUGCAGCAGCCACAACAGCAGUAACGGUUGCUUGGAACAUGGCAGGAUCAAAUGGAGGCGGUGGAGGAGGAGGAUUGUUGUUAUUUGAGCUGGGUCUUUUCUUUGGAGGCAUCUUGACCUAAAAUGAUCAUGAAAGAGAGGAUGGUAAGUCCUCUGGAUAGAAUCAAGAGAUAUGAAACAAGAGAUAUCUCAUUAUGGCAUUUAGAGUGUUCUACUAAGUGAUAGAACAGGAAAAGUUACUAAAGCAAGUAAACUAACGCUAAGGAAAGAAUGAGUAGCAACACUUGGAAUGAAUAUCUACAAUGUAUUUGGCUUUGGCUAAAAUACUCCUAUAGUAUUUUAUGUUUUGUUGCGACGAUGACUUGUUGUUUGGAUAUUUGGUAAGUUUUAGGCCUACUGUGCACCACAGUCACUCCCAAGCACAUGUUGGCCGUGUCUCGAAUGAAUAUUGUUGAUCAUGCUAUAUUGACCCUAGACACGACUAAAUAACUGCCCAGGUUUAACCACAGUGCCCAACACCUAAUUACUUUUGUUUUGUUCUACUUGUGGUUACUGAUUCUGGUAUGUAGGUAUACUGUAUACUUAAAGUAAAAAUACUUAUAUUUUUAAAGUAUAAUUUUAGUUGUAUUCCAUGUAAGGUUCGGUAUACUUAGUUCACUAUGAGCAAACGCUCUGAUACCAAUCUGUCACACCCCGAAACCGACGGCGGAAAUGUUCCGGGGCGGAGGACGUCAUGCGUAGUAUCACAACCAUUGUACAUAGUAAGCCUAGUAAACACAACCAUUACAUUACAUAUGAAUAUUUACAUUUGUUUGAAAGUGGAGAAAUGCAUAGUUUAUAUACACAUAAGUAUAACUAAAGUAUAGACAAGACUUCUAUAUGUACCGUCUUCUCCAAAAGUAAGCGGGAUACCUGUCUAACGAGAACCUGAGAAUACAAGCAGUUUUAAAAAUAUCAGCAUAAAGCUGGUGAGUUCAUAAGUGGUUGAGUUCUGGUAAAAGAAAACGUUCCUUUGAUUUCAUGAAAAGUUGUUAUCCAAGAAAAUCCCAUAUUUUCUUAUAAAAGAAGUUGGUUAUCCAUUUGUUAAACAACCCAUUUAUGAAAAGUUAAGUUAUCCCAGGAAAAACCCAUAUUUUCCUUAAAAGUCAAUGGUUGGUUAUUGAUCUGAAAAAUGAAAUGUACAAGUAUCUACCAUACUUGUAUCAUUAGGCAAAGUUUCCUUGAAACCUACGUUAAUCUUGAUAAAGUACAUUAGUUUUAACACACACACACACACACACACACACAUAUAUAUAUAUAUAUAUAUAUAGAUUCAAACACACCCCUCUACNUAUAUAUAUAUAUAUAUAUAUAUAUAUAUAUAUAUAUAUAAAACUAAUAAGUAGGUAGUGAACUAAUUCCUAAGGGUAUUGCUGAUACCCUCUAGUAAUUAAAACAGUUAUUACUUUGAGGUUAGUUCACUAGGCUCAUUAUUACUAAAAGUAAAUCUCCAUUAUCUAAGUUGCGAGUUCUAUAACCAUACAAUAAACUAGAUAUGGCUCGUAACGAGGGCCAAUAUCAUUUUAUGAUUUUGUCACCUGUAAAACUGUCGGUACCACUGUAGCUAGCAGCAAGGUGCGGGGUAGUCAGUCCCGUAUAGAUCUAUACACGAAAGUCACGUUCUUCCUCCAGGAGAUUCUGGUUACAGGGUUAGUCCUACACUCUCAAAUCCGGGGAAGUGUUACCAAGGACAGUCUCCAUUCUUAAGAAUAACAAAUUUACAAGUAAUAAUAUGGAAAAUCCCGUUUUAUGAUUGGCAUGAAUCCUUUGUAAAAUAUAAAAUAUAACAUUUUAUGAUAAGCUUUUCAAGUUUCCUUGUUUUAGAUUUGAAAACUAACUUUACAAGUUAAUUUCUUAUUCGAUUGGUUAAACGGUUUUCUGUGUUAAAAGCAAGCUAAACAUGUAAACAUUUCAUAAGGAAUAAUAAGUUUUGAGUACAAGUUCCAUUGUACUUUUGCUUGUAUUCCCCCCUGAAAACAUGAAAAACUCGGAAAAAGGUAGGGGUAUGAACUCACCUGACGUGGGCGUACCAGGUUAGGACGCUAGGUGUCAAUUUAGGACUUGAACACACACGAGGGUCCUAGGUAACAGGAAGUGAUACUCAAUUGUAUCUAAUUAGUCCUUAAAUCACUAAUUAAGAAAAUAAAAACACUCUAACACGAGGAAACACUUUAUUUCAAGUGUUAGGAAUGGUACGGGUUGCAUCUAAGGAGUGUACGGUCUCGUUAAGGAGAUUACUCUUCAAGUGUAAGCCCUUAGGGGGUGUUUAUGGUCUCAAGACCAUAUCCCCAUGAGUUUACGGCCGUAAACUCAUGGGAGUGAUGUUAUUGGUUGCUCAGAGGUCUUAUGCUUCACAAAGAAAGGUACUAGGGUUGAAUCAAAGGUCAUGGAAGUGUUUGGGGCUUGAAAUGGACCCUUUAUGGAGUUUACGGUUUCUGAACCACUCCUUGGGGAGUUUACGGCCGUAAACACAUGAGUUACGACCAUAAACUCAUGUUUGUCCAUUUUUCAUGUGUUUUGGUCGUUGUAGGUUAAGCAUGCAAAGUUCUAGACCCAAAUAUAAGCCAUACAAGGUGUUAAGGGCACUUAAACACCCUUUGGAGGUGUUUACGGUUUUGGGAGAUCCCCAAACCAUAAACUCAUGUUUACUCCCUUAAAUUCAUGUUUUGGGGUUCUUAGAUGAUUCAUGCAAGUCUCUAGGUCAUAAGCUAAGAAUUGGAAAGGUUUUGGAAGGGUUUCGGGGCAUAAAAACCCCCUUUUAGGGUGUUUACGUUUUUGGGAUGUUCCCAAACCGUAAACACAUGUUCUUGGUGUUUUUGAAUGAUUAAACCAGGGAUUUGCAAGUAUGUUAGGCUAAAAAACAAGCUAGGAAGGUUAAUUUAUAGUUGUGAAGCUUGAAAGGGGCGUUUCUAGAUCAAAUCCCGAGUUGUAGAGAGAGAGAGAGAGAGUAGAGAGAGAAAGCUCUAAGGUGGGUGAAAAAGGUUCAAAUGGAGACCACUCAACCCUUAUAUAAGGUUGAAUUCACGGCCAGGUGGGGGUCCACCCAAUCCCGACAUUAAAACGGAGUUUAAGAUUGUACCCGAUUUAAUGGUCGUAACCCAACUUAGUCAUGAAUUAAAAAAUUUUCCGAAAGAUUUCGAGGGUAUUUCACGUGAUUUUAUUGCUUUCAGACGCAUAUGAAAAAUACAACAAUAACCCAAAUGGAUUUACUUAACUCAAAAGUUAACGGAAAAUUUUCAGUAAAAUAAAUUUUAUUAACGAAAGUGGGUUAGAUUGACGGAAUAAAUUUCAGGUUGUCACAAAUAUGCCUCCUCAGAGGUCAACAAGGCGUAAUCCUCUGAGUACUCCAACUCAAACACCAACUCCUCCACCAUUUGAUAUGGCAGCUCUUAAUACUGUGGUAGCUACGGCUGUUGCCACAGUGAUGGCACAGUAUCACAACAACCAGGGAACUAGUGGAGGUGGAACAGCCUUCAUUCCACGCAAGGUGACAUCGUCAUGCGCUCACGAGAGUGCAGUUAUAAAGACUUCACCAACUGUAAGCCCCGAACCUUCAAUGGGAUCGGUGGAGUCAUUGCACUGUCGUAAUGGUUCGAAAAGAUGGAAUCGAUCAUUGAGAUCUGUUCCUAUACUGAAGGAAGCAAAGUAAAAUUUGUUGCAUGCACCUUCAGUGAUAGAGCCCUGACGUGGUGGAAUAACCAUGUCAAGUCACUAACCUUAAUAUUGGCAAAUGCUAUGGGAUGAGAAGCUCUUAAUGGGCUGAUGGUUGAAGUAUACUGCACGAGGGGAGAGGUUCAGAAGAUGGAACAGGAACUCUGGAGUCUGACCAUGAAAGGCUCCAACAUAGUGGCAUACACUGCCAGAUUCAGCGAUCUGGUGGUGCUAUGUCCUAAUAUGGUUCCUACUGAGGGGAAGAAGAUUGAGAGGUACAUUUGGGGGCUAGUGCCUCCAUUUCAGGGGAAUGUCUUAGCUUCAAACCCCACUACUUUCGAUAGUGCCAAGCGAUUGGCACAGAGACUCAUUGAUCACGGAGUCUCUACCCUGACAACGACAACAACCCUGGCUAUCCCAGAACCCUCCAAAGUCGCUGAUAACAAGCGCAAGUUUUUGGAUAAACAAGAAGGGAAAAUCGGCGUAGAACUUUGCCAAGAAGCAGCAAGUAGUGGCUGUUAAUGCCGCAAUUGUACCUGCUGCUACAACGCCAAGGAACCCGUAUACCGGAAAUUUUCCCAAGUGCAACAAAUGCACUUUCCAUCAUAAUGGUGACUGCCGGGAAAUGCAGUGCGCUAGCUGCAAUAGAAAAGGGCACACUGCCCGAUUCUGCAAGGCUCCGGUAAGGCCAUUUAACCAAGUCCCCGACAUUGGUGCAGGCCAGGCUUGCUACGGCUGUGGCGAGGUUGGUCAUUUCAAGAGAUACUGCUCGAAGGCAAGGAAUGCCGGUGGAGUGGGAAGGAUUCUGGCAAUAGGCCACGAGGAAGCCGUAGUUGAUCCUACGAUAGUUAAUGGUACGUUUCUCCUCGAUAAUUCAUAUGCCUGUAUACUAUUCGAUAGCGGAGCAGAGAGAAGCUCCGUAAGCCAGAAAUUUGUUCACUUACUUAAACAAAAACCACGAGCACUAGAGGAAUCUUUCACUAUAGAAAUGGCAAACGGGAAAACGGAAAGUACUAACUGCAUAUACAUAGGUUGUACACUAACUCUAGAUGGUCAUUCUUUCCAAAUAGACCUCAUUCCGGUCUCAAUUAAAAGUUUCGACAUCAUAAUCGGCAUGGAUUGGUUAAGUCAUCGUCGCGCCGACAUCAUGUGCUUUGAGAAAGCAGUUCGUUUUAACCUCCCUAACAACGAAACUCUAGUCAUCUACGAUGAGAAAUCUAAUACGAACCUUCGCAUCAUACAUCAUCGAUAUGAGUCAAGAAAUGAAGGAAAUUCAGAAUAUUCCAGAAGUACGUGACUUUUCCGACAUCUUUCCAGAAGAACUACCGGGAUUACCACAACAACGCCAAGUCGAGUUCAGAAUCGACUUAGUGCCAGGGGCUACUCUAGUAGCCAAAUAUCCAUAUCGUCUAGCACCGGCAGAGAUGCAGGAACUUUCCAGUCAACUUAACGAACUUCUCAAGAAAGGAUUCAUUAGGCCAAUGUACUUGAUUUUCUAUAAGGAAAAUAUUGGAUUUUCUUGGUAACACACAACUCAUUACAAAGAUCGGUUUCCAAACUCUUUAUCUCAAAAACUUAUGAACUCACCAACCUUUUGUUGGGUUUUGAGCAAUCUAACACUUCCUAAGUGUGCAUGCAACCCUAAUAAACCUUGGAUCUAUGUUUGUCUAAAUACAUGCAAAAUAAUAAUUUUCCAAGGUUUAUAACCUAUCUAACAUGGCAUGGGGAACAUUUCAACAUAAAAAGUUAGAAGAGAUUACAUACCUUUUUGAUGAGUUUGGUUCUUGAGGAGUUUGAGGGCCAAGCACCAAUAGUGUGAAUGCCUCAAAUGGAAUCACAAAACACCACAAACUCUUGGAAAACUUUGAGAGAGUACACACACUUUGUAUUUUCGGCCACACACAAGCACACACACACUAGUUCACUAGUUGCCAUUUCAUGCACCAUAAGCAUGCUUAUAUAGUGUACAUGGUUAGGGUGAAACCCUAAUAACCCAUGACCUUUCCUUUUCCAAGGAUCCAUGGGUUAAAAGCUCCAUGGAUCAUCCAUGGACUUCCAUCCANUUUAUAUCUUUAAGUAUGACAAAUACUUGUUCAUUUUCGGUCCUGGUAUUUAGGACCACAUAACUUUUAUAAGGAAAAUAUUGGAUUUUUCUUGGUAACAUACAUCUCUUUACAAAGAUCGAUUUUCAAACUCUUACUGUCAAAAGCUUAUGAACUCACCAACCUUUGUGUUGACACUUUUCAAAACUACUUGUAUUCUCAGGAAUUCAGUGAAACAGGAAAUCAACAACGUUUUGAGGAUGGGACGAUAAAUCGUCAAACAGUUCAUUUUGUAUCAUAAUGUAAUUGAUUUGAAUCAUGUAAACAUAUACUUUGGUGUAACUUUUUCAAUUAUAUUUAUGAUGGUUGUAUUUACUUUGAGCACUAUUAUACACGUUGUUGUGAUACUAUACAUGAAGUCCUCCACCCCCGGACGUUUCCGCCAUCCUUGGUUUGGGGGUGUGACAGAUUGGUAUCAGAGCAUUGUUUAUAGUGAACUCAGUAUAUCGAACCACAUAAGAUAUGCAAACUAUAAAUGCAUUGGGACUAAAGUCUCUGAUUUAAAGUUUUCAAAACAAUUAUACUUUUAGAAAUAAAUAAUCUCCUAUUAAAAGUAUACAUGCAUGCAUACAUACUAAGGUCAUCAUCAAUCUAGAACAAAACAAAAGUAAUGAUUGUUGGAUAUCACAGGUAAGCUCGGGGAUGUAUGGUCAGUCUUGGGAGUGGCAUAGCCUGAUCAACUAUGCUGGUCCGAGGAGUGAUUAGCACAAGCCCAAGAAUGGUUGUGAUAUGGUAACAAGUCUAAAAACUUACCAACACUACCACAAUGAGAACAUUAGAACCAAACAAACAAUUUAAAAUACUAUUGGAGUAUUUUGUAAUAUCAUAACUUAUAUGAAAACUAAAUAGAUCUUUAAUAAUAGGUCUAUAGUCCCUAAGUGGAUACUCUAAGGUUAUAUAUAACUUAGAAAUAAUAGACUUAGAAUUUGUGGUCAUUGCCUUACUUCCUUUUCCUUGUUUGGAUGUGGACCUAGGGUAGGAUCACUUAUUCAAAGGUCCAUCAUAUCUUGUUAUAUGUAAUUAGUAUGCACUAUGUCAUUAUAGAAGUAACUAAUAAGGAUCACUCCUAUAAGUAAUUAAUUAUAGAGUUAGACGCCUAGUAAUUAUCUCUUCCACUCCUAUUCUCGCAAGUACAACAUAGCAAGAUCGUACUUACCGGGCGACCCCUACUUUUCCAAUCCGAACCCGAGAAAUGGUGAAUGGUUAUGAGAAGAAUCAGAAGUGGAACUGGAGGUAAUAAAUCCUCCAUGCAUAGCAAGGGUUUCUGCGAACCGUUUCGACUAUAUCGAACCUGUGCCCCGUUGGGCAAUCGUGAUCGAGGGUUGAAUGUCUAAAACAAUGACAACAACCACCAUGUGGAGACCAACGAGGGUGAUAUGACCUCAACCACGGGGGACCGACUGACAAAUCCCUCCCGGCGAAGACCCGGCGGAUCGCGAACAUCGGGGAUUAAAACAGGAAGACUACAACCCGAGUUCAGAAAAUUGCGCACUAUUAUGGACCCUACCGUCUUACGUACCUGAGACUUAGAAAGAGACUACUAUUUUAGAGGCCAACAUUUUUUUAAGGACCUUAUCGCCGCUCAUGAAGAGGAAAGAGAGUAACAGGGUAGACAUACGACAUUCAAAGAGAGGAUGAUUGCAGCCAAGCAUCUAUUAGCAGGGCUGCAAGGUGCAUCGACUUUGCCUCAGCCAUCGCAAGGGACAGAUCGUCGUGAGUAGAGUUCAAACCGCUCGCAAGACCUUGUAACUUAGGUUCGUAAGUAUGCGUUGGUGCUACUCUAUUCUAGGCGUAAGCACGACACUGUGAUUUAAGCGGUCAUACUAAACGAGAGAUCUAGUUGCUAUCAAAACUUUUCCAUGCACGGAUGUGAGGUAAACCUACAUCUAGGUCAAAAUUUUCGUUGAAACCAGAAUUACUAGAGUCAUAUUAACAAGAUGGGCUUAGGACAUACCUAACAGACUCAAAGGUCUAUUAAGUCUUAAUCAUACCUCUAAGCAUACAUCAAAUGGUCGUAAGAGAGGCCUAGCUUGGAUCAAAUUUCAAGGUUUCGCUUGGAUACAGAACUACUAAAAAAAUUCAUGGGUUUACCAUAUAGACUCUCGUUAUGAAUUGUUUUCAGAACACCCUUAACAACCAGAAUACGUUACAAAAUGAACUAAGAUAAACUUAGUUAGAAAACCUGCGACGUAUAGCCAUUCUAAAGACUCGUUACCGUCUCUUCCCUUAACCCUUAUGAUUGAGGGGAUGCUUUCUUCGAAGAACUAUAAGGUGCGAUCUUUCCAGCACUAAUACACUGAAUCCCAUCAAAAACUCCUCAGCCAAGUGUGUUUGGACAAACAUGAUUCUAAGAUGAGUAAAGCUUAACGCCCGUAUGAAACCUACUCCUACCCACUACCAUAACUCCAUCUCAGGAACGUUAGCAGAAACACUAGGAAUAGUACAAUAAUGUGCAAAAAUUUAUAUGCAUAAAUAUAAAUCGUAAGGAUGCACUUAAGAUAAUCAUUUCCACUAACGAAGUCGUUUUUCAUCGUGAAACAGAGCUAUGUCUUCACCAAGAGGCAACCAACCAACUAUCAAGGCACCAACUCUGUAGAUAGACUCUGCUACUUUUCAGGCNGCUACUUUUCAGGCUGUAGUCACGGUAGCCGUGACAGUCGUCAUGGCACAAUUCAAUACUAACAACGCCAGCAGAGAUGGAAGCGGUACUGACAAUACAGAUUGUGGUAACAAUCAGGGACACCAACGGGUGUCUGCCAACCAAAAUACCUCAGGCCAGAAACCUACGAACAAGAAGCGAAAGUUUUGGAACAAAAUGGAGCGCAACCAAUCUCAAAGAUCCACUAAAAGACAACAACCCAUGGCCACCCCUACAAUUACAACAGUAGUCACGACUCAUGCCUCGACACUAGCCACGGGGUCUGCCACCAUAUUGUCCGUUUCUGUAAGGCCCCGACUCAGUACAUUGCUUCAACCCCCAAUACCAAGGUAAUUCCAUUGUGCUUCCUAUGUGGCGAAACAGGACAGUUCAAGAGAAACUGUCCAACUGAGAGGAAUGAUGGGGGAGCCGGAGGAGUGUGACAAACGAACCAACAAGGGUAACAGGGAACCAUAUUAGGACUUUUUUGUAAUGUUUCCAAUGACAAAAACGUUUAAGUACCAUAUGUUUGUAAUGAAUUUGGUAUUUGCUGAAAUCACCGUCUUUCUAAAAAUAGUUAAAAUACACUCUCGUUCAAAUCAAACCAAAGAAAUUCAUAUAUGACCUUAGGAUCAUUACCUGUAAGAUGUGAUGACUUUAUACAUACAACGGGGUUAAUUAUAUUCAAAAUACUGAAGUCUCGAAACAAAUAAUUCCAUCCUGACUCCUAUUUCAUGUCUAGUAGUAGGAAUUGAGUGGGGCCACCCACUUGACGAUUUCACCAACAUCAACUUACAUACGACGUUCAUAUAUCGCUCGAUCGUAGGGAGACCUAUCAGGGAUCAUGAUAUCAAGUAUCAUUACUGGCUAUCGAAACACACCCACUACCAGUGCUAGACACUGUGGUAUGAAUCAUCUAUAGUAAUAAUAACAUCAAACAAAACAGAACACCCUGAAAAGAAACACAAGAUACUCUAUCACUCUAGUGAGCUCUUCUUAUGAAUACAGCUUAACACAUGUUAUCUAAAAGGAUAUUGUUGUUGUUGGGAUUAAAAACCUAAUUGUGAUUUGAUGAACAAGAUGCGAAAAAUAAGAACAAACACAAAUAUGAAGAUUAUGUUGAAUGAUCACUCGAUUUAUUGAAAACAGGAGGAAUAAAUUACACUUUCAGCAUAGACUAAAGAAUCUAACAGUACAUAAGAAACCUCACGUGGCGGCUACAUUUUGCCUCACUCUUAACCCUAAUAAUGAAUAAUACAUGACUAUUUAUAGGGAAAAGACAAGUCUUGGGCUUUUAACCUACACUUCAUCAAGGGGCCCAUUGCCAUCAUCCAUGGAGUGCUUUGAAACCCUACAAUCUCCCCCUUAAAGUAUGGAAUGGAUGACAAUGCUUUAACUUCCAAAACAAGCAUCUAGCGAAUAAAAAGAUCUUGCAACGAGGAAUAGAUGAAGCAAUCGACGAAUCUUGAUUCUUCAAUAGUCUUCAACCACGGGCUCUAGGAUAUAUAAAUCAAGCACUGAAGUAAUGUCUUUAAACUUCAUUUUCGAAUGUAAUCCCAAAAAAAUCUUCAUGAAAACCAAGCCCACCAUAAAACCCAUUUCAGAACAAAGAAACCGAAUCACUUCUUGUCUUUGAAGAGCUCCCCCUCUAAGUCACAAUGAUCUUCAAAUAAGCUAAUGAUAUAAGCCAUCAAAAAAUAUCAUGUAACAACCCAAACUUUAAGAUUCGUAAUGUCGCUUGAUUGAGAAAAUACUAGAAGUCGGAGAUAUAACAAGUCCUUAGCAGAGCUCGAUAAAGAACUUCCGCUGUAAAGGAUACUUCUCUGUAAAAGCUUUAGCAGAGCUCGAUGAAGAACUUCCACUGUAAAAGCUACAUUCAUAAUUCUACCACAAGCUUUAUAAAAAAUCUUCAACUUUGAAAAAUCACAAAUCCAAUUUCGAAUGGCCAUACCAAAUUCUCCCCCGAUUUAUAAUAAAAAAAACAUGAUUAUAAAGCCUUCAAAUGGUCAUGAGAAUGAUCUUGAAUGGAUAAAAAAUUAUUGUGCUCCCCCGUGACAAAAUGAUAUACACAAUGAAGUAUAAAAUCCGAAAAAGUCAUGAAAAUUUGACGUUAUCAAGAAAAAUGACUUUCCGAACCGCCAAGAGUUGAUGGAAUCUUUAAUUUUCUGUUCACGAAAAAAAAUAUGUGCAUUAAAAAAAUCCAAAACUGUUCACCGGCCCUCAAAGUAGUAAACUUUUCUGAAUAUUGGGCCGAAACUGUCACAUUCCAGAAACACUUGGGUUGAAAUUGUAAUCAUGCACCAAUAAACCCCUUUAAUUGUAACAAUUUUUGGAAAUGGACCAAAAUUGCAAAGCUGUGAAAAUAACAGGGAUCAGAAGUGUCAAAUCAUUGAAGUUUCAGUGAACAAAAACGUAACUUAAAUCAUCUUUCCCAAUUUUAAUGUCUGAUACAUCUCGUUUUUGUAUUGUGAAGAACACGAAUCCAAACAACUGCGAAUCAAUAUUAACAAACGAUCGUGAAAGAGCAGUGCAAAUCCGAGAAUUUCAAUCACCGAACGUUCGCAGGUAAGGACUUUUCAAACCAAUUUUGACUUUUUCAAUUUUGACUUGCAAGAACAACAGCUCAAUCAUUCUGAUUGAGUUUUAAUUUUGAUUUCAUUUGUUCCAAAUGACACAGUUCCGAUUGCGAAUUUGAAUUUCAUCCGUUCUGAUUGUAUUAUGCUCUGAUCCGAGACCCAUAUGGCGAUUGUGAACAUGAAUAACCAUUUCGAUUUGACUGUAAUUCUAAACGGAGACCAAGAACAAAUAUUGUUUCUGAUUCCGAGAGGUAAUUUCAAAACAUCGAACACUUCUUCUUUGAUUGCAACAUCCUAAUUUCAACUGAUUUUGAAUUUUGACUUUUCUAGAUUGACCAACCAAAUCGAGAUACAAGUUGUUCAUCUAUUCAUCAUUUGUUCAUUAUAAGACUCCAAGAUUUGUAUUUAACAAACACCUAAUCUAUACUCCAAAGAUCGAUUUCUUUCACAAAUCACCAAUAAUUUUCAAAGAUUGUAAAAUAUUAAAUUGACUAUAGGAAUAAGGAAACCGAAGAAAAAUGUGAUCUUGGACUAAAACAAACAGAAAUCGAUUGAGUUUUGGUACAUCAACAAGCAAUAAACCCAAACAAACCAUCGAUUAUUAGUCUUUGACAAAUAAGGAAAACCAAACCGGAUGAAUUGUCACACCCCAAAACCAAGAACAACGGAAACGUUCCGGGGUGGAGGACGUCAUGUAUAGUAUCACAACAGUGUAAAAUAGUAAUCAAGCAACAACAUCAUCCAUUGCAUUAUAAGUAAAGUUUUAAUACAUGUGUGUUCUUUCAUUAUAAAAAGACACCAAAAAUAUACAAUCAAACUAAAGACGAGACUUGUCUGCUCCGUCUUCUCAAAACCUGGCCACCGUACUUGUCUACUGAUGACCUGAGAAUACAAGUUAUUUUGAAAGAGAGUAUCAGCUUUAAAGAUGGUGAAUUCAUAAGUAUUUAAGUGUCAUUGUCUUGCUUACAAAAAGCUGUUUUAAAAGUCAUGUAAACCUUUAAAUGAAAAUGCUGAUGUAAGUAUGAGAAGCCCUAGAAAUCCCUUAUUUUCUAUUAGUUUGAGAUGUAGUCUUCUACCAAGACCCGAAUGUUUUGUUAUGACAAUGUAGUCUUCUACCAAGACCCGAAUGUUUUGUUAUGAUAAUGUAGUCUUCUACCAAGACCCGAAUGUUUUGUAAGUAAAAUGAUAGUUUUUCCUUUCUAUUGACUAGUACUAAAAGUACUGAGUCUAACUCUUUUUUUAGGUGAAUGUAUCACAAAAUAAAGCAAAAUAGGAAAAUGAUAUGAUAGUCUUCUACCAACACUUAAAUGUUCUAUAAGUAAAAUGAUAGCUUUUCCUUUCUAUUGACUAGUACUAAAAGUGCUUAGUCUAACUCAUCGUUUAUGUGAAUAUAUCACAAAAUAAAGCAAAUAGGAAAAAUAUAAUCAUGUAACUGUUAUCCCUGGGUGACCAGGAUUAACACGACAUUGCCGAAGCGAAAGGUAUACCCUAAUGAACAUCUGAAGAUUGUCCACUCAUCCUCUGUAGCGGCAGCAGGGUGGAGGGAGGGUUAGUCCCGUAGCCGACUCCUAAUAUAAGUGGUAACCUAAUGAUCAUCCGAAGAUUUUCAUCUCAUCCUCUGUUGCAACAGCAGGAUGGAGGAAUGCUUAGUCCCGUGGCCGACUCCUAAUACAAGGGUUAACCUAAUAAUCAUCCGAAGAUUUUCAUCUCAUCCUCUGUUGCAACAGCAGGAUGGAGGAAUGGUUAGUCCCGUGGCCGACACCUAAUACAAGCGUUAACCUAAUAAUCAUCCGAAGAUUUUCAUCUCAUCCUCUGUUACAACAGCAGGAUGGAGGAAUGGUUAGUUCCGAUAUCAAUCUAUCUAUGAUAAGUGAUAACCUUAGACAUCCGUAGAUGUUCAUCACCCAGUGUUGCUAACAGCUGGGUUCCGGAAUGGUUAGUCCCGUCUAGACAUCCCAUCGAAUAGGGAUAGGCAGGAAAAUUUACACAGAAGGUACGAAUAAAUCUUCCUAAUAACUCUAGGUACAAGUAUCCAGGUAAGUGAAUACCGAAUAAUGUAUCUAAGUAACAAUACUCAUGUAUGGUAUUCAUGUAAGCGUAUUCAGAUAAAUGUAGCUAUGUAAACGUACUCAUGUAUCAUGUAAUCCUAAGUAAUUGUACUCAUGUAUCAUGUAAGGUACUGGUAUAGACUCAUGAAUGAACUGACUCUUGUGUGAUUCCUUGUAAUAGGAAUAAUGUUUUGUUUCUUCUAACUAUCCCUAUGAUAAUUAACUNNNNNNNNNNNNNNNNNNNNNNNNNNNNNNNNNNNNNNNNNNNNNNNNNNNNNNNNNNNNNNNNNNNNNNNNNNNNNNNNNNNNNNNNNNNNNNNNNNNNNNNNNNNNNNNNNNNNNNNNNNNNNNNNNNNNNNNNNNNNNNNNNNNNNNNNNNNNNNNNNNNNNNNNNNNNNNNNNNNNNNNNNNNNNNNNNNNNNNNNNNNNNNNNNNNNNNNNNNNNNNNNNNNNNNNNNNNNNNNNNNNNNNNNNNNNNNNNNNNNNNNNNNNNNNNNNNNNNNNNNNNNNNNNNNNNNNNNNNNNNNNNNNNNNNNNNNNNNNNNNNNNNNNNNNNNNNNNNNNNNNNNNNNNNNNNNNNNNNNNNNNNNNNNNNNNNNNNNNNNNNNNNNNNNNNNNNNNNNNNNNNNNNNNNNNNNNNNNNNNNNNNNNNNNNNNNNNNNNNNNNNNNNNNNNNNNNNNNNNNNNNNNNNNNNNNNNNNNNNNNNNNNNNNNNNNNNNNNNNNNNNNNNNNNNNNNNNNNNNNNNNNNNNNNNNNNNNNNNNNNNNNNNNNNNNNNNNNNNNNNNNNNNNNNNNNNNNNNNNNNNNNNNNNNNNNNNNNNNNNNNNNNNNNNNNNNNNNNNNNNNNNNNNNNNNNNNNNNNNNNNNNNNNNNNNNNNNNNNNNNNNNNNNNNNNNNNNNNNNNNNNNNNNNNNNNNNNNNNNNNNNNNNNNNNNNNNNNNNNNNNNNNNNNNNNNNNNNNNNNNNNNNNNNNNNNNNNNNNNNNNNNNNNNNNNNNNNNNNNNNNNNNNNNNNNNNNNNNNNNNNNNNNNNNNNNNNNNNNNNNNNNNNNNNNNNNNNNNNNNNNNNNNNNNNNNNNNNNNNNNNNNNNNNNNNNNNNNNNNNNNNNNNNNNNNNNNNNNNNNNNNNNNNNNNNNNNNNNNNNNNNNNNNNNNNNNNNNNNNNNNNNNNNNNNNNNNNNNNNNNNNNNNNNNNNNNNNNNNNNNNNNNNNNNNNNNNNNNNNNNNNNNNNNNNNNNNNNNNNNNNNNNNNNNNNNNNNNNNNNNNNNNNNNNNNNNNNNNNNNNNNNNNNNNNNNNNNNNNNNNNNNNNNNNNNNNNNNNNNNNNNNNNNNNNNNNNNNNNNNNNNNNNNNNNNNNNNNNNNNNNNNNNNNNNNNNNNNNNNNNNNNNNNNNNNNNNNNNNNNNNNNNNNNNNNNNNNNNNNNNNNNNNNNNNNNNNNNNNNNNNNNNNNNNNNNNNNNNNNNNNNNNNNNNNNNNNNNNNNNNNNNNNNNNNNNNNNNNNNNNNNNNNNNNNNNNNNNNNNNGCCCUUAAAAUGGAGUUUACUCUCCGCGUGUUCUUGGGCGGUAAACUCCCAAAUAUUGGGGUCUUGAUCCGAUUUUGAUGUUUUCUAGUCAUAUACACACUAGCAUACAAGCCUAAGGUAGUUACUUAACAUGGGGAAAAGACUAGGUAGCAUUUAAGCCACAUAUAGGAGUUUACUCUCCAAGAACGUUCUUGGGCGGUAAACUCCCGAAUCUCACAGAUUUGCUAUGUAAUCUAAGUUAUUAAGCACAUUAUAAGCAUUAUAAGACAACUAGAGAAGUGUACUCACGAUUUGGGAUAAAAACCCGAAGAUCCGUGAGAGAGAAAAUGGCUUUUCUCUAGUUGGAAAUGUAACUAAUGACAUAAUUUGGUUCAGAAUUCUAUUUAUAGUCCUGAGAUAUUUUUGGCAGAAAAUAUUUUUAUUCCCGAAAUGAUUUCUAAUAUAACCUAGUGUUGGAAUAGCAGUGUUGCACAAAACCCUAGUGCAUCCACUCUCCUGAUAUCUCCUUAAGUGUAAAUCGUGAAAAACUCAAACUUAUACCCAAAGUUUGGAAUUUUGCUGAAACGGUUCUAACUUCUAUUGGCUUGAUAUGGUUUGUUCAGAAUGGAAAUUUCAGGUUGUCACAUGAAUGAAGACACAUAAAAGCGACGCAAACAGGAGCACUAGAUAUCAUAUUAAGGCUAAAGAGAUGGAUCAUGAACAGUGAAAGAUUGGGCCAGAUCAAAAAGAAUGGAUUCGUAAUUGAUAGUGGAUUGAAUUAAGAAAUUGAACGAAUCAUAAAUACGAUCAGAAAACAAAUCGGAUUAACAGAAAAUUACCCUGAUGAACAACAGUAGAUGAACAUAAAUUUUCAUGAACAGUUGCUUGAACAGAAUUUUGAUUCCAAGAUGCCAAAACACCAAUAAUCUUCAAUAACUUGUGCAGAAAAUCAUCAAACCAAGAACCGAUACUUCAAAAAUCAACAGAUCUUCAAAGACCCGCUCUGAUACCACUUGUUGGGAUUAAAACCCUAAUUGUGAUUUGAUGAACAAGAUGCGGAAAAUAAGAACAAACACAAAUAUGAAGAUUAUGUCGAAUGAUCACUCGAUUUAUUGAAAACAGGAGGAAUAAAUUACACUUUCAACAUAGACUAAAGAAUUUAACACUAUAUAAGAAACCUCACGUGGUGGCUACAUUUUGCCUCACACUUAACCCUAAUAAUGAAUAAUACAUGACUAUUUAUAGGGAAAAGACAAGUCUUGGGCUUUUAACCUACACUUCAUCAAGGGGCCCAUUGCCAUCAUCCAUGGAGUGCUUUGAAACCCUACAGUUGUCAUCAUCCAAUUUUGAUUUAUAUAGCCCUCAUCUUCCCGAUUUAACGACUACAAAAGGACCCUUCACCUAACCCUCCGAAUAUCGAAACCUUUGUCUCCCAUAAAUGCAUCCAGCUCGGAUCUACGGGUCAUCUCUCGCUCUGAAACUCCAAAACACGCACCAGAGGAGUGUUAUACUUCCUGAAACCUUAUCACAUGUAUUUACAGGAGACCUUCGGGAAUGUCACGCAUGCAAUAGACAAGGUUCAAGCACAGAAGCUUGGGACGGAUACGUGUAUACGCGAGGAUAAUGUAUAAUUAAGAUUCUACGAACAUUGGAUGUGUGCUUCCGCCUUAUUUCCUGUUCCAUGUCUGGUUGUGGACUUGGGGCAGAGUCACCCAUCUAACUGUCUUGCCAAUCUUAAGCACAUACGACCUAUAUGCGCAAGUUAAUGAUAGAUGAACCAGGUACGAGUCCUGUCAUGAACUUCGACCCAAGGUUGCCCAGGAGGACGAGUGAACGUCCUACCAUCCGAAAAAGGUCUAAGUCGCGUAAACCAAACCCACAUGCUUCCUACCGAGCUGCAAGAACUGUCAGGUCAAACCUGUCGAACUACUCAACAAUGAAAUUGAAGAACCAAGCUUCUCACCCUGGAGAGCUCCAGUCUUAUUCUUCAAAUAGAAAGACAAAUUGCUCGUAGGUCCAUCGACCUCAAAGGCCCCGACAAUAUCUCCAGUAGAAACCUUUACUAUCCGCCUCGCAUAGACUAAUAGGCUGACCAACUGCAAGGAACGAGGUACCCUUCAGGAAUUGGACUCUAGAUCCGAAUAUCACCAGUCGUGAGUAUUGGAGAAGGAUGUCCGAGGACAAUCCUCCAAGUUUGAUGUGGAUGCUACAAGUUCUUAGUGAUACCCCUCGGAUAAGACCAACCCGCUCGCAGUCUUCAUGAACUUAAUGAAGAGGAUAUGCCAUUCUUACUAGGAUCAGUUCGUCAUUGUCAUUGAAAAUGACUUGCUUAUCUACCCUCGUAGUAAGAAGGAAACCAAGGAGAGCAGCUACAACAAACCGUGAAAACAAUACGAUCAAAGAAACCUUACCUGAAUUUCUCUAGAUACGAGUUUUGGAAUUGAAGAGUCAAAUUCCUAAGACACACUAUUAUUGAUGUGGAAAUUCUUGAGGACCCUUUCAAUUAAUCAAAACCAUUGAGAGAUUGUCAGCACCAAAGGCGUCGACAGGAAUACGCCAAAAUUCUGGGUCUCGCUGACCUACCGUCUUACUUCCUUUGGAACUUCUUGUAAAUUACGGAACCCCCUUACGACUUUGACCCUGAAGGGAGCAACCCUUUACUGGGAAGAGAAGCAAGAGGGAGAAACCUUUAGAACUCCAGUAUAAGAGACCAAAUUCCUCUGGAAGCCUCACUCUGGGAAGGGUUACUACGCUUCGGAAAGCGUGGAAAGCUAAAACCCCACAUAAUUAUGCCUUUCGAGAUUCUUGUCAGAAUCAGCCCUGUAACUCGCUACUUCAAUCUACUCCCGUGAGCUUGGUAAAGUACAUCCUACCCGACACGUCCCAAACUUGUAGAAGUAUCUAUCCGACGAGACUCUUGUAAUCCCCCUCGACGAGAUCGAGUUCUACAAGGGCCUCACCUUCGUGGAAGAACCGUAGUGACCAUGGACCGAGAGGUCAAGCGAACGAAGCAACACCGCUUCCCAUUAGUGAAAGUUUGUUGGAAUACUAACCAAGGACCUGGAGUCACUUUAGAGCACGAGAAUCAGUCGAUUAGGAAGUAUCCCUACUUCUUGGCUCGAUUGUUCAUGCCUACUACUUGCCUAAAUUCAAAUUUUGGGACGAAAUUCCCUUUAACAGGGGGAUUGUGUGACAACCGUCAAUUUUCGGUCAAGUCAAAGUCAACUAAAGUCAACAAGUCAAAUCGUUCGACUCAAUUAGCCCAUGGGUUCUAGGGCUUACGUUAGCUAAUUACUUCACAACUCGCUAUUCUAAUGAGAGAUCAUAAAUCGAAAAGUAUAUACAUCUAGGUCUCCUUAACCUAAAACUGUGGUAAGUGACGAACCAAACUGAUAAAACAAUGUUGCAUACUCAUCGGAAGUGUGUAAGAUCCUUAAACAAGGCUUAACGGGGUUUACGGACCUUACAUUGCGAAGUCGGACACUUGCAAAUGUCACACACGAAACCUCUCUCAACCGUUUUCACUUUACCUCUCUUUAUCGAGAAUCUCUCUUAAAUCUCUCUGAGUAUGUGAAAUCUCUCCCAAAUCUCUCUUUAUAUGAGAAAUCUCUCCAAGAAUAUGAAAUCUCUCCCAAAUCUCUCUAAGUAUGUGAAAUCUCUCCCAAAUCUCUCUUUGUAUGAGAAAUCUCUCCAAGAAUAUGAAAUCUCUCCUAAAUCUCUCUAAUUAUGUGAAAUCUCUUCCCAAUCUCUCUUUGUAUGAGAAAUCUCUCCAAGAAUAUGAAAUCUCUCCCAAAUCUCUCUAAGUAUGUGAAAUCUCUCCCAAAUCUCUCUUUGUAUGAGAAAUCUAUCUAAGAAUGUGAAAUAUCUCCCAAAUCUCUCUAAGUAUGUGAAAUCUCUCUAAGUAUGUGAAAUCUCUCCCAAAUCUCUCUUUGUAUGUGAAAUCUCUCCAAGAAUAUGAAAUCUCUCCCAAAUCUCUCUUUGUAUGAGAAAUCUCUCCAAGAAUGUGAAAUCUCUCCCAAAUCUCUCUAAAAAGUUCCUUAAACUUUGUAUAGUCUUUCCGGCCAUCCCGACCCUUAACCGGGUCAAAAACCGCUUAAAACGGGGUAAGAACGGAUAAAAAGGGCUAAGAACCCGAAACCCCUCUUAAGGACUCGAACCCUCUUAAGGACCCGGACCCCUCUUAGGAACCGAACUUGUCAGAAGCGAACUUAUCAUAAGCAAACUUGUCAGAAGCGAACCCUCCCUUCGGACCGAGCCUCGCAUAAGGGACCGAACCCUCCCCUUCGGACCGAACCUUCGGUCCAUUUCGGUCUAUUUCACUCCAUUUCGCCUCUUAACCACUUUCGCCCCAUUUCGCUUCCUGACUCACCCGAGUCUUCGGUCCCAACAUUCUAAGGACUGAACCUAGCCACCUUCGGCCCCCUUACGAGAAGCCUCACAGGAAGAGCAUUUCUUCCCGGUUUUCGACUACGAUUUCAUUUUAGCUUCGUUUUUAAUUGUUUUAAUGCGGGAUUUUCACCAAAAACUUUAUUUUAACAUAUAAGGCCCCAUAUUUAUUAAUUAUCCACGUUUUUGGGGAUAAACCUUAUCCAAGAAGAGUGGGUGAAAUAAAAGAGGUGGAGUGUUGACUUUUCUUUAUUCUAUGACACAAGCAACCACUCCCAUACCCACUCCAUGUCAGUAUUCACCAUCAGCCCAUACCUAGUCAUUUCAUGCUACUUUUCCCACCAUUUUUCAGCCACACACUUGGUCAAGGGUAAGAAAACCCUCCUCUCUCCUCACACUUCUCUCAUUUUCUCAUUCUUCCACCAAAGAUCAAACAUAUUUUCUCUCUCACUUCCUCUCUCUAGAAAUUCGAGAUUCAAGGGCUGAUAUUAGAUUUUUCCUCCACAUUUGGUAAGUAUCUUCCUCCUACACUUAGAUAUUCUACUAUCCUUCAUCCAAAUCAUAGAUUGCUUACACAAAUAUCGUCAUAUUUGUUGUUAGCUCCUCAAAUCUUCAAGCAUCUCCCAAGUGUUCUUGAGUUGAACACUUCUUUUCUCCAUCAUCCAUCUACUGACAUCACUCAAGGUGAGUUCAUACCCCUACAUUUUCAUGUUUUCUUAAGUUUUUAGGGGGGGGGGGAUACAAGUUAAAACACCAAGAACAUAACUAAACUUUUCUAACAGCCUUCAUCAGAAAAGUUGAACUCCAUUAACGGACUGUUUUGGACAACCUAAACAUUUUAGUUUUCAAAUCUGUUUUAGAUGCAAGUAGUUCCAGUUCUUAGCUUUAAAAUUACUACUUGCACAUCUCCAUAGGAUUUUUCUAGAAUUUAUGGUGAUUUUCAGAAAACUGCCUAUCAUUUUAAACAUCAAUCCGGUCCAGUCUAUGAUUAUGGACUUUUUCACACAAGUUGGAGGUCAUUAAAAUUCAUAAUAAAAAUUACGAAUAAACUAGACUCAUUUCCCAAACUCUCAGAAUUUACGGAUUCUGAUUUGGACCUUUGAUGAUUUUUCUAUAAAUUUUCUAAGAACAGUAAAUGAAAAUAUUAACAACAGAAAAAUGCUAUCAAUUUCAUUUCAUCUUGUAACAUGUUGAGCAAGGUGUAUAUCUUUAUGUGCAAAUAUGUUCUUACAAAUAGAUGACAUUUUGACUUAGUAUAUAGUCAUACAUCAGAAAAGAAAUGGAUUUUUACCUACAAAAGAGUGGUAAUUAAUUUGUUGCUAUAAUGCAUGUUGCUUCACUUUAGUAAAAAGUACAUAUACAUAUCGGUAAACAAAAGGGUUUUUACCUUCACAUAUAUAGUAGUUAAUCAUAAUAAACACAAUUAUAACUUUUACAUUUAAACGUUUUGAAUAACUAUAAUAGGUAUGGUUUAUGUUCCAUUAACACAUCAAACACAUUUUGGAAGGUUUUAUUCCCACACAAAAAGGUUUUACACUCACGCACACCACACGUAAACUUGUUAACCUAAAUUGUGAGACAUUAUCUUUCUGUACGUCCGAGUGCGAGAUCCAAAUUCCUGGUAAUUAUAAUCAGAGUCCCUUGUAGGGAGAACGUGAUAGUUGUGUAUAGAUCUAUAUUGGGUUAGACACCCCACACCUGAGCUGUAUGCAACAGCUUGACCGGCAGGUCUGUGGUGUCAAGUGUCAUUUCAGUUUCGCGGCGCCUGAGAAACGUCGUGGCAGGUUCAUUCAGUCAUAGUAUGAUUAUAGCGGCUCACAUAGGGAGUAACAACACAUAAAGUUUACGGGGAUUUUCAUAAAUCAAAAGGGGUUUUAUGUCGAUUAAAAAUCACUUUUUAUAUCAAUAAUUACACAUAUUAUUGUAUAUUUUCAGUUUUGGUAUUUGAGACUGCACACCAUUCAUUACGGGAUUUUUCUCAAUUCAGAAAGGGUUUUACGCCAAUUUAAAACCAGUUUUAUAUCUUUAAGUAUGACAAAUACUUGCUGAUUCUCGGUCCCGACAUUUAGGACCACGUAACUUCUAUAAGGAAAAUAUUGGAUUUUCUUGGUAACACACAACUCAUUACAAAGAUCGGUUUCCAAACUCUUUAUCUCAAAAACUUAUGAACUCACCAACCUUUGUGUUGACACUUUUUUCAAAACUACUUGUAUUCUCGGGAAUUCAGCGAAACAAGAAAUCAACAGCGUUUUGAGGAUGGGACGAUAAAUCGUCAAACAGUUCAUUUUGUCAUCAUAAUGUAAUUGAUUCGAAUCAUGUAAACAUAUACUUUGGUGUAACUUUUUCAAUUAUAUUUAUGAUGGAUGUAUUAACUUUGAGCACUAUUAUACUCGUUGUUGUGAUACUAUACAUGAAGUCCUCCACCCCCGGACGUUUCCGCCAUCCUUGGUUUGGGUGUGUGACAGUUUCGUAUGUGCAUCGACUAUAGAGAACUCAACAAACUUACUGUUAAAAAUCGUUAUCCUCUACCCCACAUUGACGAUUUAUUUGAUCAACUUCAAGGAGCAAACUACUUCUCGAAGAUAGAUCUACGAUCCGGGUAUCACCAGUUACGAGUGUUAGAGGAGGAUGUUCCCAAGAUAGCCCUCCGAACUCGUUAUGGACACUACGAGUUUGUAGUGAUGCCGUUCGGAUUAACCAACGUACCAGCUGUAUUCAUGGAUCUAAAGAAUAAGGCGUUCAACACCUACGAAGAGUCUUAGAAACAUUACGAUUGGAGAAGCUCUAUGCGAAGUUCCCUAAGUGCGUGUUUUGGAUUCGAAGAGUCGAAUUCUUGGGCCACAUUGUUAGUGAAGAGGGAAUUCACGUGGACCCUUCCAAAAUAAAGGCCAUUGAUAACUGGUCAGCACCGAAGAAACCUACAGAAAUUCGUCAAUUUCUAAGUCUCGCUGGCUACUAUCGUAGGUUCAUACAGAACUUUUCUAGCAUCGCUAAGCCGCUUACUACAGUGACCUAGAAGGGAGUGGCCUUUGACUGGGAAGAGAAACAAGAGAAGGCGUUCCAAACGUUGAAGCGAGCCUUAUGCACCACGCCAAUACUAUCCCUCCCAGAAGGAAUAGAAGACUUCUUAGUCUAUUGCGAUGCAUCCAACCAAGGGAUCGGAUGUGUUCUGAUGCACGAGGUAAGUUCAUCGCCUAUGCCUUGAGACAGCUGAAGACACACGAGGUCAACUACACCACGCAUGAUCUUGAGUUAGGAGCAAUUGUGUUUGCUCUAAAGAUCUGGAGACACUAUCUGUACGGUACGAAAAGCACUAUCUUUACAGACCACAAAAGCCUUCAACACAUCUUUGAUCAGAAGGAGCUUAGCAUGAGACAACGACGGUGGGUCGAGCUACUCAAUGACUAUGAAUGCGAAAUUCAUUAUCAUCCCGGCAAGGCCAAUGUAGUAGCUGACGCCCAGAGUCGGAAAGAAUACUUUGGUCGUAGAGUCAAAUCAUUGACUAUGACUAUCAAUUCACACUUGUCCACACAAAUUAACGAGGCUCAGCUCGACGCUUUGAAACUUGAAAAUGUGUCAAGUGAAUCCCUGAGAGGGAUCGAUAAGAACUAGGAAAGUAAGGGUGGCGUAGUGUUAUAUUUCAUGGACCGAAUCUGGACACCAAAACACGGUGGCUUCAGAGACGUGGUCAUGACCGAGGCGCACAACACUCGAUAUUUCAUUCACCCAGGUUCAGAUAAGAUGUAUCUGGAUCUUAAAAAGUUAUACUGGUGGCCUAACAUGAAAGCAAAGAUUGCUACCUUCGUGAGUAAAUGCCUUACUUGUGCAAAGGUUAAGGUCGAAUACCAGAAACCAUUAGGUUUACUUCAGCAACCGGAGAUACCAUAAUGGAAAUGGGAGCGGAUUACUAUGGACUUCAUAACCAAGUUACCCAAGACAACGGGUGGAAUUGAUACCAUUUGGGUCAUCAUCGACAGAUUGACCAAAUCCGCGCAUUUUCUACCAAUCAAGGAAACUGACAAGAUGGAGAAACUAACAAGAACAUACAUUAGGGAGAUUGUACGAUUACAUGGUGUUCCCAUAUCCAUUAUCUCCGAUAGAGAUAGUAGAUUCACUUCCAGGUUCUGGAAGUCGCUACAAAGUUCCCUAGGAACGAGGUUGGACAUGAGUACAUCCUACCAUCCACAGACCGGCAGACAUAGUGAGAGGACUAUCCAAACCUUGGAAGAUAUGUUGAGAGCCUGUGUGAUUCACUUUAGGAAGGCAUGGGAUACUCAUUUACCCCUUGUUGAUUUUUCCUACAACAAUAGUUACCACACGAGCAUAAAGGCUGCUCCAUUCGAAGCCCUCUAUGGCCGGAAGUGCAGAUUCCCUCUGUGCUGAGCUGAGGUGGGUGAUGCCCAGUUAGCUAAAGGACAAGUUCCUGACAGCACUCUCAUGUGUCAAGAAAUCAUACGGGAAAUGACAAAGAAGAUCGUUCAUAUUCGUGAACGAUUGAAAGUCUCUAGAGACCGUCAGAAAAGCUACGCAGAUAAGCGAAGGAAACCUUUGGAAUUCCAGGUGGGAAACCGAGUCCUUUUGAAAGUCUCACCCUGGAAGGGCUUGAUAUGCUUCAGAAAGCGUGGAAAGCUAAAUCCAAGAUACGUAGGGACUUUCGAGAUUCUUGCUAGAAUUGGCCAUGUAGCUUACAAACUCAAUCUACCGCAUGAACUCAGUAACGUACAUCUUACUUUCCACGUCUCGAACUUGAAAAAGUGUCUGUCCGACGAGACUCUUGUAAACCCACUCAACGAGAUCGAGAUCAACGAGAGCCUCAAAUUCGUGGAAGAACCUGUAGAGAUCAUGGACCGAGAGGUCAAGCAAACGAAACAAAUCCAUAUCUCGAUAGUGAAGGUUCGUUGGAACGCCAAGCGAGGGCCUGAAUUAAUUUGGGAGCGCGAGGAUCAAAUGAAACUGAAAUAUCCUCGCCUUUUUACUUAGUUAUUUGUAACUACUUAUUUGCUUAAACUCUAAUUUCGGUACGAAAUUCCCUCUAACGGGGGGAUGAUGUGACAACUCGAAAUUUUUAUCUUAUAUCAAACCCUGCAUUCAAUCAAAGUCAAACUUUCAGUUGCUAAAUUUUAGCAGUUUUGGAGUCGGUUUGGAGUUUUGAUCUCAAAUCCAUCAAAGGUAAUCAUAGGAAGUAUGCUCUAGGGUUAAUUGCACAACACUUAAGUCUCAAAACUCCAAGAGUUUGGAGUUUACGGCCCUAACAUAGAGUUUACCGCCAUAAACUCUAGGGUAUAAAGGUGAAACUUAGCCAUUUUUGUCAUUUUUAACCAUUUUCCAGUCCUUAACCUCAUUCUCUCUCAAGUAUCUUCACUAGAUCUUCAACUUAGUAAGUGUUUUCUUCCUUGAUUAGUUAAUAAACUUCAUUAUCUAGUGUUUGUGAAUGAUUUCAUCCAUUAUAUCUCUUCAUUUGAUAGAUAAUCAAGUGUUCUUCAUUUCACCAAGAACACCAAGAACAUACACUAGUGUUCUUGAGCCUUAAGCACUCUUUCAAGCUUCUACACUGUAAGUACUCUUGUCCUAGCUAGUUCUAUGCUUAAAUCAACUAGAUUACACUUAGAAUUCAUCAAGAAAUCAUGAUUAAAAGGGAGUUUAUGGCCAAGGAACCUCCUUAGGCCGUAAACUCUAUUUAAGGGUCAGAAUGAGCCCUAAUCUCUUGUCAAGGCUUAAGAUCAAGUCUAGAACACUUCUAUCAUAAGCUAGCAACCUUAAACUUUCAUUUGAUACAAGAUACCAUGAGUUUACGGCCAUAAACUCAUGGGGAAAUGGUCCUUAGGCCGUGAACACUAGUUAGUGGUGCAAUGGUGCCACCAUUCCUUCCUAGGGCUUAGACUUGAUCAUAGUGUUGGGUUUUGAGCAUUCUAACACUCCGAAGUGUACAUGCAACCAUAAAUACCUUGGGUCUAUGUUUUCUCUAUUAUACAUGCAAAUAUGAACUUUCCAAGGUAUUCAUCCUAACUAGCAUAAUAACAUUGAUUCAUAUGAAUAUAUCAAGUUAGAAUUACAUACCUCUUUGAUGUAGAAUGUCUUCAUGAAGCUUGAGUGCCUAGUACCCCAAGUGUGACACCUCAAAUGGUUCACACAACACCAAAUACACUUGGAAUAGAUUAGAGAGAAAUCCACACUUCAUAAAAUCGGCUAGCCCUUUCACAUACAUUCUAGUGCCGAUUUUGUCACCAAUAAGAUCUUUAUAUAGUGCCACAAUUAGGGUAAACCCUAAUUGUCAUGGCUUUCCAUUUCAUUGGAUCCAUGGUUGAAAUACACCAUGGAGCAUCCUAUGAGUUUUAGCCCAACUUGAUAAUCCAUGGAGCAUUAGCCCACUGUACAAGUAUGUAUGGUUUACACAAUCAACCCAUAUAUUUAAUUAGUCUUCUUUUGAUCACUUAAUUAAUCCUAGAUUAAUUCUUGAUCAAUACUAUUAAAUUAAUCUUAUCAAUAUAUUAGAACUUAUAAUAUAUUAACAAACCUUAAGUGUUAUUUCUCUCAUUAUAUUCUAUCCAAAUGCAUGAUGCCAUGCAACCCAAAUGGACCAUGCCGGGUCGGGUCAAGUCUUACCAAUUAUAGUUAUGGACUUCGACAUUAAUCCAACACAUAGAACACUUCAUAUGGACUUAUAUGACCUUAAAUCACAACUUGGCACUUAGUACCAUGAGUUUAUUGCCGUAAACUCAUAAGGAAAUGGUCCUUGGGCUGUAAACUCAUGUGGUUCAUACCAUAUGGACCAUAAACUCCCAAGUGAGGCCGUACACCCCUUAUAUGCAAUCCUAAGUGGUUUAUACUUCAAUACAAGUGUUUCCUAUUCCCUAAGGUUGUUCAAUUACCUACUUAGUUGUUAUAAACACUAAUUGUAAGCAUAUAUGUGUCAUUAUAUGUUAAAUAGGAUCCGUGUGUGCACAAGUCCUCACUUGACACUUAGCAUCCUUUACCGAUCUUGCAUUCGCAUCACUCACCUCAGGUGAUUUCAUACCCCUUAAAAUUAUCUUUUAAAUGAUUUUAAAUGCUUUUAGGGGGGGGGGGGNNNNNNNNNNNNNNNNNNNNNNNNNNNNNNNNNNNNNNNNNNNNNNNNNNGUUUUAUAAACUGACAUCAAGUCAUUAUUUAUUUAUUGUUCAAAACUCUUUAAAUGUAUUACAAAACCUCUUUUUAACUUAUAUAUACUGUCAAAAGCAUGUAUAUAUAUAUAUAUAUAUAUAUAUAUAUAUAUAGCUAUAUACAUAAUGUUUAAAGGGAUUAGGACUGCUAGCUCACUUUAUUUCCUUUUCCUUGUUUGGAUGUGGACUUAGGGUACCGGCCAGUUGUCCGAAGGUCAUCUAAAUAUUAGAUAUAUAUUAUGUAUACCUAUGUAGACAUAACAGUUCUAUUCAAUCAGUUCGGUACCUUUGGGUAGCAAGGAUGUACAUUCAUCUAUUCAUAUACAUAACUUACUAGUAAACUAUAAUAGGUAUAGUAUAGGAGAAUACUAUCAUAUACAAGUGUUAUAACAGAGAAUACUGUAACAGAGAAUACUAGACAGAGAAUACUAUAACAGAGAAUACUAUACAAAGGAUAUUAUACACAGAAUACUAUACAUAGAAUACUAUUACUAUAACAAGAUUCAGAGAUAACAUAAUGUGAGAUACUACUUCGUGACACAUCGACAGUUUCGUUAUCUCUCAUUUUGUAACCAGAAUCUCCUGGAGGGAGAGCGGGAGUUUGCGUAUAGAUCUAUACUUGAUUGACUAUCCUACACCUUUGUUGUUCGCUACAGUGGGACUUGCAAGUCUACGGGUGCCAAAUGUAAUUUCUUCCGACGUCUUUCAUCAUCGUGUUAUAGUCAGAUUAGUAUGGUAACAAUCAUAUCCCAUUUUGCAGUACACAUAUACAUUUUCAGUUUAUAUUCAAAUUGUGAUCUUCUCACAUAAAGGGUAUUAUAAAACAAUAUUUUGGUAAUGAUAGUCAUACUUGGGAAAAGCUUUCACUUUUACAAAGAGACAAACAUACAAAACAGUUGGGUCUUGGUAGAAGACUACUUUUUAUACUAGUGGAAAAUAUAGGAUUUUCUAGGAGUUUUCAAACAUAUACUAACAUUUACAUUGUUCAAUUACAAACAUUUCAUCAAACUUAUACAAACAUUGACACUAAAUACUUAUGAACUCACCAGCUUUAAUGCUGAUAUAUGCUUUCAAAAUAUCAGGUCACUAAUAGACAGGUACCGAUGAUCAGGUUUUGAGAAGACGAAGCAUCUUCAAGACUCGUAUUUUAUUUUGAUUAUUCUUUUUGGUGUCUUAUUACUAUUAUAGAAGACACUUGUAUGGAAGUAUACUAUUAAUGCAAUGGAUGAUGUUGUUUCUUAUUUACUACUUUGCAUUGUUAUGAUACUGUACAUGACGUCCUCCGCCCCAAAAUGUUUCCGCCGUUCUUAGUUUUGGGGUGUGACACUAUCUAACUCUAUUAAGUUCCUAAUUGUUGAUUCUUAAUACAUGAUGUGACAAGGUUGCAUUUUGAUGUUUUGUAUGAUCAUGCAAUAGGAAGGAAGCUUAAAGGAAGAGUAUGAUGAAUCUGGUCGCGAAGAUGGAUUUCAAUCGCAUGGUUCGAUGAUCGGAUUUUUGAGAUGCUGCUUAAAGAGUUAUGAUAGAUUGCUUAGAAAUAUGUAGUAACAUAGUUUUCAUUUGUAAUUGCAUUGUAAGGAAAAGUUUUUCCGUAAUUUUAAAAAUAAAUAAAAUUUUGUUUUGUUUUAUUAUAUCUCCUUGCAAUGACAUUGGUGAAAAUUGAUGUUUGUAUGUUUCUAUGUUAGCAAUAUGAAUUUGAUUUCUUUGUUUGUGGUAGUGUCGAGAAUUUGCCAAAUAAGGAAAGAUUCUCAUCACCCAAGUUUCAGUUGGAUAGAAAAUUGGAAUCAUGCAACUUGUAUUGUAUGAUGAAUGAGAACUUUCGUCUUUGGGAAAUUAAGACUAAUUGCUUGUUCACAUGUAUAUGUGAGUCAAGUAAAGCACUAGUGGAUCGGGUACACUGGGUGUGCGCUGGUCAAGUCCACCACAAUAGGGAUAUUCGUCAUGAUUUACUAAAGUUUAGUUAAUAUGGUUAUGCUUACAAGUUUAAGUAUAAAUCUGAAUCAUUGGAAAAAGUUCAAUGUCUAACAAAACGAAUGAGAAGAAUCAAAUUAGGCAGAAAGAUAAAAGUUUCUCCAAUCUGAAAGGAUGAGAGAGUACUUUAGUAUCGUGUUUUAUGAUUAUCUUAAUGAUUGUGAAAGACCAUAUCACAAUUGAUCCUCUAAAGAUACCUUAGUGCACUUGUAUGGCUAAGAAGAGGAAUCGUGAAUUGUUGAAAUGGUUAAAUCAAAAGGUGAAUCAUACUUCGUUCCAAGAACAAGUCUUAGAGUCAUACUCCAAGAUUGUGCCUUAAGUGACAUAAUAUUAAGAAAGGUUUAUAAAACUUAUCAAAUGUAGAGUAAAAAUGUUUUCUACUCUACUACAUUUGAAAUUGGUAAGUAGUAAUGUUUUGGAUAAAACAACGACCAACUAAGGCCAAUUAUGUGAAGUGUCAUUCUUGAUGAGAAUCCAAACUAACUCUUGAAUAUUUGUUUGUCAAGGAAUAGUUCUUGACAAGAGAGUCUUAUAUGUCAAGAGGUCAAUGGGAGUCUUAAGGAUCUUGACAAGUUUCAAGAACUAAUCAAGAAUAAAACCCAUUGUUUAUCGCUAGCACAUGACUUGAGGUUUGUAACCUAUUGUGUUGGCAUAUUCUUGUUUUGAUGCCCAUUCCAGUUAAAGUUGACUAUUUAUGUGAGUUCUAUGAGUUCUCAAUUGUUUGCAUAACAACUUGGAAGCAAUAGUAGGCCCUUAUGCUGCCAGGUGGCAAGAAAUUAAGUGGACAAGUUCAGUUCAUAUGAAUUUGGAUUUGUCACUAACCUUGUCUUGUGAUUAUGGUUAUGACAAAUUUACAUGGAUAGGAACACAUACACCAUAAAAAUCUAAGUUUCAUAGGGUUUCUCUCCAAUUCAUGAAAAUGAUUGUGAGAAAAUGCUUUUGCUAAAAAGGUUUUAAGGAGAUAGCAAUUAUGGUAUUUGCAUUCUCAAAUUCGAUUAUGAUUACGACAUCCCUAUCCAUAAUUCGAAUUGUGAGAAAUGGAAAAAGUUCUAAACAUUUGAGAUUUAUUGUUGUAAGUUCUAAAAUUGUUUAGACACACAUGUGAGCUAUAUAAGGAAAGGUGUAUGAUUUUGAGAAGCCUAGAUAAAGUCUUAGUAAAGUUAUCUCGUAUCAGAAAUCUGAACUUUGGUAAUGAAAGUCAAUGAGUAUUGAUUUCUAAAUGUCCAGCUGAUUUAUGGGUAGAUGUCAAAGCUAGUGGGAGCAUAAAUGUUAUGCUAGUAAAAGUAAUGAUUAUUAUGCUAGUGGGAGCAUAAUCAAUUAUGAUGAAUGUUGCAAGUUAGCAAUGUUAAUUAUAGAAAACAAAAGUUUCAAUUCGCAAGUUAUAGGGUUUGAAAAGUUGUUUUGCUAUAAUUAAGGGAGAGAAAUUCAUACUUCAUUUCAAAUCUAAAAGCUUAGAUUGAGAUUUUAAUCAGAUUUANAUAUAUAUAUAUAUAUAUGAAUGUUAUGUUGGAAUGGUUCAACAUAAGGAAAUUCAAUAUAUGGAUGUAUUAAUUGCGUUCUCAAAAUUCGACUAUGAUUACGACAUCCCUUUUCAUAAUUAAAAUGAUAAGAACAUGGCAAAUAUAAAUUUUAUAGCAAAAUACUGGUCAAGUAUCAUGUCUUUAUGUAAGACAUCAUGAAUCGUGUCCUAUAUGCUUCGGGUAUAAGAUCGAUUACAUGUGCUAUAAUAUUCAUCCGUUCUAGAUAUUUUCCAAAUUCCUAGGGCAUUAAGAGGGAAAAAAGAUAGAACCUGAUAUGACUAAGGUGGUUAAAAAACUGUUAAAGGACAAUCUAAGGUUCACCGAUGAUUGGUCACUUAAGGGCAGUUGGAAGUAUAGUAAUGGAUGGAAAAUAUCGACAUUAUUAUAAAUCGAAAGUAUUUUAUUAAUAAUGGGUUGUCAUAUGGCAAAUGCAGAAUGUUUUCAUAUUGGGUGUUGGAUAUUAGUAAUCUGUGGUUAGAAACUUUUAUGCAAGAAGGAUGUUCAAAGGAAUGUACUUUGAAUUUGAGACUUCGCUUCCAUGGAAUUGUCUUGUAACAAUCUCCAAAGGAAUACUUUGUAAUGUCGCUGGUCAAGUCUCCAUGACUUUUGGUACCUAGACAUUACAAAGGAAUCAUUGCAUGAUAGUUUAGAAUCUAACACAUUCUGGCAGUGACAAGAAUUUGAAAUUCCUACACUAGUGAUAAAGAUUUGGAAUUGUGAAAUGAGUUUCAUUGAAGAUGUGUUCAAUUGAUAUAUUUCACAAAUUAAGGACCAUAGACAAACAUAGUAUGCAUGACUGUUUUGACUUCCCGAAUAACUAGGUUAUUCAAACCAUCCAUAGUCGAUCAUACUUUGGAAGUAGGUAUUUAGGCAAGACUGUCAUGAAUGCGUCUGUAGUUGGUCUAGGUGUUUUAGACAUAGCUGUAGUGUUCAUAAGUACUCUUGGAAUAGGAUUCGAGUAUUAGAUUCAACCCACGCUCAUUUAAAUCAUUUCAUGGAUUUUAUCACGAGUGAUCACUAGUCGAUAAUAUCUUAUAUUCUUGAAAUGGAGAGAUAUGAGUUGCAGUCUACAAGUCGGUUGCACAUUGAUGAUAUGUAAACAUACUGGGAACUUGGUGUCAUAAAACAUAUCGUUGUGUGUGAUUUGAUGAUUAGAUAGAGCAAGCAUACGAGUCGAAGUUUAUUCAUUCCUUUUACCCUUGGAUAGAUGAAAGCGAUAUCUAUGGGCCCCUCGAUGAUUUAGUGAUGACACCCCUAAGUGCUUGGCCAAGCCUAGACUGAUUUGAUUUGUUCAAUUUGUCGGUCGUCAUAAAUCAGAAAUCGGGAAACAACAGAUGGACAGAGAGAAUGAUUAUAAUCCAUGUCUCAAUCCAUAUGAUAUCUUGUAGAAUGGAGGAAUAUAUAAUCCCUUAUCUAAUGGACGCGUUAUUGACUAGGUCAGAGUUCGACAGUGGCUUUUAAGAGCUACAAUUGCUAGUCGGGAUUUUGGAGUCGUACUUUCUGUAGGGUUCAAAGUACUCCAUGGAUUAUGAAAAUGGGCCCCCUUCAUAGAGUGUAGGUUAUUAGGCCCGAGACUUGUUUUAUUCCCUAUAUAUUGUCAUGCAUUAUUCAUUAUCGGGAUUAAGAGUGAGGGAAAAUGUAGCCGCCAAACAUAAUGAGGUUUCUUAGGUAAAGUAGAUUUACUUUAAUAUGUUCUUAUAGUGUAAUUUAUUCCUCGUAUUGUUAAAUAAAUCAUUUGAUCAUUCAACAUGUCUUCAUUAUUGUGUUUGUUCUUAUUUUCCACAUUAUGUUCUUCAAAUGGUUUUUAGGGUUUUGACCCAUUCGUUCACUGUUCAUUGAUUGUUCCUAUAUUUCCUUUUGAAAUCACAAAAUCUGGGAAAUCAAAUUUUUUUUAUGAGUUUAACUUCAUGGCCAUUGAAUACUCUUUUGUUCUACUGUAUCUUACAAUUCUCGAUUUCUAUUUAAUUUUGGUCUUGCUCUUGAGUUUUGGUCUUCAAAUCGAUUUUGAUUGACCUGAUCGAUUUUGUUCUCGUGUACGGUUUGACCCAAUUGAUGAUUGAUAAUGAUUUUUAUUUAAUGAGAAUCAUCUCUUGUUAUCUGUAUGAUCGUUUGAGAUUUUGGGUCUACAAUUUUCAUUCGAUGUUAACUGGGGAAUCAUGUUGAUGAACUGAUUAUUUGAAGGAUCGAUAAAGAAUGGAUAAAGAACGAUGAACAUAACUGGGUUUUGAUUUAAAUGGUCAGUAUUGUACAGGAUGGUCUCACCUGUGAAUAUAAUCGAAAACGGAGGCUUUAUCGGAAUGACUAUGAUCAGUGUGUUUGAGGUUCUGAACACAAACCUUGUUCGCAAUUGUUAGUUAAUUUUGGGAAUUGAAGUGUAGGUCUUGGAAUCAUUAUUAGCAUAUCGUUUGGAAGGAUCAUUCGGAAUCGAAACACAAAUAAGAAGCUAUGCAAUCAGAAUUAUUUGAUUCAGAAUGAAUUGUUGCUCGCAAUCGGAAGUGUGAUGUUGGAUCGAUUCCGAACGAAUGGAAUCAGAUUUGGAACUCAAAUCCCAAUCGAAAUUGAAAUUCUAGACUCGGAUUCGUAACAACCACAAACAUCAAAAAGUGAACCUGUGCUCGGAACGAAGGUUUGAUCGGAGUUGUUUGUUGUUUGGAUUUGGAGUUCAUGUUAUGCGUCACGAGUGGAUUUGAGUCGAUGUUGCUAUCCGUUCGUUUACCAAAGGGCUAAUGGGGAAGAUGACUUCGAUUUACAUUCUUGGUCCCUGUAACUUCAGCAAUAUGACAGUUUUAGUCUCAUUUUCUAAAUUUUUACAAAUAUUGGGGAAAAUGAUGUUGUUUUACCAUUUCCGUCCCCUAUCUUUCAGCCAUGUGACAGUUUCUGCCCAAUAUUCAGAAUUAUUUGCAAAUUUAAGGGUUGAUGAACAUACUUGGGUUUUUAAUGCACAUAUUUUUUUCGUGAAUUGAAAAUUAUGGAUUCCAACAUGUCUUGGAAGUUCAGAAGGUCGGUUUUCAUGACAACGUUAAAUUUUUUCAACUAUUUUGGAUUUUAAACUUCCUUGUUUAUUUCAUUUUGUUGCAGGGGAGAAAAGUAUUUGUUUAUCCUUUCAAGAUCAUAAAAAGGGAAGAAUUUGAUAUGGCCAUUCGAAAUUGGAUUUGUGACUUUUCAAAUUUGAAGAUUUUUUUAUGAAGCUUGUGAUUGGUGCUGAUAGGAAGGUAGCUUUUACCGAAAAGUUCAAGAGGAACUCUUCUAAAGCUUUUACAGAAAAUUUCAAGAAGAAUUCUUCUAAAGCUUUGAUAUAUCUCCGACUUUUAGUGAUUACUUGAUCAAGUGACGUUACGAAUCUUAACUUUGGGUUGUUACAUGAUAUUUUUUGGUGGCUUAUAUCAUUGGCUUAUUUGAAGAUCAUUAUGACUUGGAGGGGCAGUUCUUCAAAGACAAGAAGUGAUUUUGGUUCUUAAUUCCAAAAUGGGAUUACAUUAUAAAAUGAAGUUCUUUGGGGGGGGGGGGUUGGCUUUCUUGAAGAUCUUUGAGAUUACAUUAUAAAAUGAAGUUUAAAAACAUUACUUCAAUGCUUGGUUUAUAUAUCCUAGAACCCGUUUUUGAAGACUACUGAAGAAUCAAGAUUUGUGGAUCACAUUUGAGAUUCCUCGUUGCGAGAUCCUUUCUUAUUUAGUAGAUGCUUGUUUUGGAAGUUGAAGCCUUGUCAUUCCUUCCAUACUUUCAGGGGGAGAAUGUAGGGUUCAAAGUACUCCAUGGAUUAUGACAAUGGGCCCCCUUCAUAAAGUGUAGGUUAUUAGGCCCAAGACUUGUUUUAUUCCCUAUAUAUAGUCAUGUAUUAUUCAUUAUUAGGGUUAAGAGUGAGGCAAAAUGUAGCCGCCACGUUGUGAGGUUUUAAUGUAGUGUUAGAUUCUUUAGUCUAUGCUGAAAGUUUAAUUUAUUCCUCAUGUUUGAAUAAAUCGAGUGGUCACUCGACUUAAUCUUCAUAUUUGUGUUUGUUCCUAUUUUCCACAUCUUUUUCAUCAAAUCUCAAUUAGGGUUUUAAUCCUAGCACUUUCAAUUAUAGCUAUUAGACUUAUCCAAGUGGGAGACUGUUGGAUUAGGUGUCUAAGCCUAUAACUAUUAUUGGUAUGUACUUCACCCGAGAGUAGCAUGGUCUAUUUAGGUUGCAUAUCAUCCGAAAUAUUUGAUAGGAUGGACUUUUUAGAAAAGGGUAUUUAUGGUUUAUUAAUAUAUUAUAAGCUCUAAUAUAUUAAUAUGAAAUCAUAUUAUUUAAUUAGUAUUGAUUAAGAAUCAAUUUGGAAUUAAUUAUGUGAUCAAAAGAGACUAAUAAAAAGCCCCUAGCUCAUGAAAUCGGCUACACAUGUGUUCUUUGGAAGAGCUAGCCGAAUUUGAGUGCAAGACACCUUCUCUCAAGUUAUAUUUUGUCCUAGAUGUAUUGUGAUUCCAUUUGAGGCAUUCACAUUAUUGGUGCUAAGUUCUUAAAGGUCCAAGGUCUCCAGCUACAGCAAAAGGUAUGUCAUCUAACUAGAAUUUUGUAGUAAAGAUACUCCAUUGUAUGCUAGUUAGGAUGAUGCUUUGGAAAAAUAAAGUUUGCAUGUAUAUUAGAGAAAACAUAGAUCCAAAGCAUCUAGGGUUGCAUGUACACCAUAGGAGUGUUAGAAUGCUUAAAACCCAUCACUUAUCUCUGACUCACAUCUGGUAGUAGCCUGAACGCAAAUCUAUCUUGGAAAGGCAAGAUGCCCCCUGUAGCUGGUCGAAGAGAUCGUCAAUCCUCGGGAGUGGGUAACGGUUCUUCACUGUUACGUUGUUCAGCUCUAGGUAAUCUAUACACAUACGAUACGACCCAUUCUUCUUCUUCACAAACACGAUCAGGGCUCCCCAAGGUGAACUGCUCGGCCUGAUAAGUUCCUUGUCUAACAGCUCAUGCAGCUGUAUAGACAACUCCUGCAUAUCGAGAGGAGCCAACCGAUAUGGUGCCUUGGCUAUCGGAGCCGUACCAUGGAUUAGGUCGAUCCUGAACUCCACCUGUCUCUCCAGAGGUAUCCCAGGAAACUCCUCUGGAAAUACUUCCGGGUAGUCUCGAACCACUAGCACAUCUCUCACUAUCCCCUCACCCGCCUCCCGGGUAUCCAUAAUGUAGGUGAAAUACCCUGCGCAACCCUACUGAAGGUAACGCCUAACCCUCGCUGCUGAGCACAAAGCAAGUCCUCGAUGUGUCCUCUCACCCUGAAUCACCAACUCUCCCCCACUUCGGGUUUUGAAACGCACCAGCUGUUGCACACAGUCGAUCACCUCCCCAUUAGGGCUCAACCAAUCCAUGUCGAUGAUGACCUUGUUUCCACGCCAAGGGAUGUGAACCAAAUCCAUGAGGUACCGCUUGUCAUACAUCCUCAUAACACAAUCUAUGUAGACCUCCGAUGCCCGAACAGAUUGGUCAUCAUAAAUCUCGACCUCUAAGGGACAAUCCCAACAUGCCCAAAGACUCAGAAAACCUCUUUCUAAUUGCAAGAGAUACAAAUGAUCGGGUAGCCCUCGAGUCGAAUAACACCUGUAUUGGGAUACCGUUCACAGGGAACGAUCCUAAGCAAAACACAUAAAACAUAGAAGAUAAAUAUCAUAACCGACAUGUAAUAAGAGUUAGGGAAAACAAAACGUACCUGUCACCACAUCCAGUGUGACACGUGCCUCCUCGGUGGUCAACUGGAAGGCUCGACUCCUCACCACUAGAGCCUCUGGCUUGCCCUGUCGGACAUCCGUGAUCUGCAGGGUCAUUGGAGCUUGCGCCACCACUGGCACUACUGAUACCAAUCUCGGGCAGUUGGACUUUUUAUGGCCCUUUUGAUUGUAUUGAAAGAAAAUCAAGUCUGGUGUAUGAAAGAAGGGACUAUCGGCAGUACAAUCCUUGCCAAAGUGCCCAGUCUUGCCGCACUUAUAGAAGCCCGAUCCCCCAGUUCUAUAAAUCCCCUCGUGUGGCUUGCCGCACUUCCCACAACAGCUCUGGCCCUGUUGGCCCUUCGACCUAGAGUCGAAUCCCUUGGAUUUCAUCCCCGAAACCCCAGUAACCUACCCAGUCCCCUCCUUCCUCUUUCUGAUGUGCUCUAUGUCGAUCUCCCUCUCCAUUACCUUCGCUAUCAUGUCAUCCAAGGUCGGGCAUGCCGAGUAGCUGACAUGUUUCCGGAUGUCGGCCCUCAACAUGACGUGGUAUCGGGUCUUCCUCAUCUCCUCAUCCCCCGCGUACUGAGGCACCAGUAAAACGCUCUCUCUGAACUUGGCGGUAAUCUAUGCCAUCGUCUCAGUAGUCUGCCUCAUAUCCAGAAACUCCAUGGCCAGCUGCUGAAGCUCCACAACCAGUGCAAACUCAACCCUAAACCUAGUCACAAAGUCCGACCAGGCCAUAGCGUCUAUGGUUGGGGCUCCCAACGAAUCACUGAUCGCCUCCCUAAAAUCUCUUGCUCUGUCUCUCAAACAUCCCGCAGUAUACCGGACCUUCGACCCCUUAGGGCAGAAGCUCAUCAACUGUGUACAAUCAAUGUCUGCAAUCCAUCUCCUGACCAUAAUGGGGUCCUUUACCUCGCAGGAGAGUGUAUGCGUCCCUGACUGGCCAGAUGCCAUGUCACUUUGGAAUGCCCUUAGUCGAUCCUCCAUCAGUUCAAUGAUCCAUUCCUUGAUCGACCCGAAAAUCACCGGGGUAUCCUCUAGAAUGCCUCUCGUAAUCUCAGAUGUGAUGAACUCGCGUAGUCCGUCAUCAACCGGCUUGGAACCUGCACCCGAACCUGAACCUGAACAUGAUCCAGAACCUGAACCUCCUUCUCCAUGACGUGUCACCACCAUUAUGAAACAAAACACAUAAUCCUCAGGGUUAUACAUAACCUCGAGAGGUCUCACACACUCUACAAAUUUCCUAAUUCUAUCUCAACCCUCCUUGACUCGAGUACGGAUCCUCUACUUUCAGUAGUACGGGCCCAUACUGUAACACUAGUCAAAAUAGGUUAAUAAUAAUCACAUGUGAUUAUGCCAAUCAUGUAAUGUGAUAAAUGUACCAUGUAUUUCAUGAUAAAUUUUAAUAUAAAUAUGAACUUUAUUUAUGAUACCACUCAAAGUAUACAUCCAUACGAUUCCAAAAAUAUAGAGAACAUCUGAAUCUGACUUUGCAUGAAGAAGUUAUGAUAAGCUGAACACUAUAAAUCUCUAUAAUAAGAGGAAUUUAAAAUAGACUUAGAAUUAGCUAUUAGAGUCUAAAAGAGAGUUGUAGUACUUGUGAAUACCUACGCGUGCAUAUAAAGAACGUCAAAAACGGAGUUCGUAUGCAAAAGUUAUGACCUUCCAAAGAUGAAGAUAUCUGAGAGCAUGACACGUGGCAGGAAACCCUAGUUGUCUGGAUUCACGACGUGAACCAUAAAGUCACGAUGUGAAAGUAGUCCAUGACACAUUUUCGGAUCUAGAAGGUGGGUAAUGAGGCUACGAAGGGGAUAAGUUCAAUCCCCACGACUUGGACAUCAAAUUCUUGACGUGUAACUGGAAUUGUGACACCUUCUGAAGCUAGGAACGCAAAUGGCAAGUCUACGAGGAUAAGAUCCAAAGUCCCGACCUGGGGGUCCAAAAUCCCUACUAUAAAUAGCAGGUCCGACUUCAGUCAUUCUUACACCAAAACUUCUUUCUCCUCUCUCCUUUGCUGGAGCCAUCUUGCAUCCCGAGCCCCGACGACCUUGUACGCUGACCGGUUCUGCUUAGACUACAUAAAAUCAUGCUACUAGGGUGAGUUUCACGGCCCCACUUUCUAAUAUUUUCGGGGGAAAACGCAUGCUAAAUAUUGUAUACACGAUGAUAUUAUGUCUAUAUAAUAGUGUACUAAUAUCAACAUAGACAGUUAUAUUAACUGGGAUAUAGUUGUUCUAAAUAUGUGACAACCCGAAAUUUUAUUUGUAUAAACUCCGCAAUUAAGCAAUCCAAAAAUUAACCAAAUUUAUUACAAAACAUUUUUGGCCGGAUUUAAUCCCGUUGGAAUAUUUUAAAUAAUAUUCGUCAAGCAAACCAAAAAUAAGGAAGUAUAAAUUUAGAGUUGUCGUGUUUAACGUAAGUCGUGAAACUCCAAAAAUUUGGAGUUUACGAGAGAAAACUCAGAGUUUACGACCGUAAACCCCCGAGAGUAUAAAUAUGACACUUAGUCAUUUUCUCUCAUUUUUCCAACUUCCACCUCAAGAACGCUCAAGAAAUCCUUUCAAGUAUCAUAUUUCUUUUCCGUCAAAUCCGCCAAAACAUAAGUUUUUAUUGCCAAGAUUCGUUCAUAUAACACUUAAUCUACUGUUUUUACAUCACUUCAUCCAUGGAUUUUUGAUUUUAGCUUAGAUCUUCAAGUGUUCUUCAAGAACACCAAGAACACACACUAGUGUUCUUGGCCAAAAACGAUCAUCCAAGCUCCUAGAACGUAAGUACACUUGCCGUAGAUUCUUGUGUGCUUAGUAUGAACAUGUUUACACUCGAAAAUCAUCAUUUCUCCAUGUUCAUAUGAGUUUACGGUUUGGGGAGGCCUCCCAAAACCGUAAACACCUCUAAAGGGUGUUUAAGUGCCCUUAACACCUUCCUAUGAUCGUAUAAGUGACUAGAACCUUGCAUGCAUGAGUUAGAACCACCAAAACACAAGAGAAAUGGACAAACAUGAGUUUACGGUCGUAAACACCCAAGGGAGUGGUCCAAGGACCGUAAACUCCAUAAAGUGUCCAUUUUAAGCCCUAGUCAUUUCCAUAACGUUAGAUUCGAGUCUAGCAUAAUUCCUUGAGUGUGAUAAGACCUUUAAACACCCCAUGACACCUCUACCAUGAGUUUACAGCUGUAAACUCAUGGGGGUUAUGGUCCAGAAACCAUAAACACCCCUAAGGGCCAUCAUUUGAAGAGUAAACUCCAAUGUGAGUCCAUACACUCUUCAUAUGCAACCCUUGGUACUCCUAACACUUGCAGCAAAGUGUUUUCAUGUAUUAGGACAUCAUUACUUGCUUAAUUAGCUAUUAAAUGACUAAUUUGAUACAUAAAUGUAUCAUUACAUGAUAAAUAGGAUUCGCGUGUGUGGUCAAGUCCUCAUUUGACACUUAGCAUCCUAUACCGUCUGUUCAUCAGGAUCACCCACGUCAGGUGAGUUAAUACCCUUGAAUCAACCUUUUAAAUGAUAUUAAAUGCUUUUAUGAGGGGNNNNNNGGGGGGGAAUACAAGUUGAAGUAUAGAGUUAUUAGAUCAAUCACAUGUGAUUAAUAACUGUAUAGCAAAAUAGAUUUUGCUUGUUAAGUUGCUUUAUUCAGCUAAAGGUUUUUGACUCUCAUUUUCAAAUCUCGUUUAAGGCAUGAAUAUCUCUUUUUAGAUUAUUAAAGAUUUUCCAAAGAUUUUCAAAUACUUUUUUAUGAACUGACAUCAAGUCAUAAGUUCUUAUUGAUAGAUUUUCCAAAGGUUUUACGAAAAGUUCUUUUAUGCUUGUAUAUGGUAAAGUGCAUGCCUAUAUAUGUAUAGUUAUAUAAGCAAUGUUUGAAGGACUUAGGAAAGCUAACUUCGCUUAAAUUCCUUUUCUUUGUUUGGAUGUGGUUUAGAGUAUCGGUUAUCCGUCCGAAGGUCAUCUAAACAUUGGUUAUAUAUCAUGUAUACAUAUGUAGUCAUAAAAGUUCUCUCAGCCAGUUCAUCUUCGUUGGGUAGCAAAUGCAUCCUUCCAUUAUUCAUAUGUCUAGAACACCAGUAACUAUUAUAGGAAUAGUUAGGAGAUUCUAUUUACUCUCUCUCUCAUUCUCUCUCUCUCUGACCCUCUCUCUCUCUCUCACCCUCACUCUCUCGGUCUCUCUCUAUAAUACAAAGAAUUACUCAUGAGUCAGUUCAUUCGUGAGUCUAUACUAUUAUUAUAAUACUUUAAAUAGAAUGUGACACACUAUUUCCUGAUACGACGCUUCAUAGCGCCAUCGUCGUGUAACCAGAGUCUCUUGGAGGGAGAGCAGACAUCAUGUGUAUAGAUCUAUAUGGGAUAGACACUCCCGCAUCCUGACUGCUAGCUACAGUCCGAGUCGGUAAGGCCCAUGCAUGACAUAAUGUUACUAAGGCUAUGCGUGACCUGGAGGGUCAUCAAGGAUUCGAUCGUCAAUCAGCAUGGUUACAUACAAGUUCACAUUCGACCCUUUUAUUCCCUUUUAGACUGAGCCAGGCGUAUCGUUCAUUCGAUACCCUCCUGGAGUCUAUGUUUUAUUCACCUUUUAGACUGAGCCAGGCGUAUUGUUCAUUCGAUACCCUCCUGGAGUCUAUGUUUUAUUUCCUUUAGACUGAGCCAGGCGUAUCAUCCAUUUGAUACCCUCCUAGAGUCUAUGUUUUUAUUCACUUUUAGACUGAGCCAGACGUAUUGUUCAUUCGAUACCCUCCUGGAGUCUAUGUUUUACUCCCUUUAGACUGAGCCAGGCGUAUCAUCCAUUUGAUACCCUCCUAGAGUCUAUGUUUUUAUUCACUUUUAGACUGAGCCAGACGUAUUGUUCAUUCGAUACCCUCCUGGAGUCUAUGUUUAAUUUACUUUAGCUAGCAGUAUUUACUGCUGAAGUAUAAUAUUAUUUUCCCUUAAUAUUUUUACUUGUGGAUUUCUCACCAUUCCUUUUAACCAAAAACUAUACUUUUAUAAUGAUAGUAUUUUGGGAAAAUUACUCCUUAAAACAUAAAACCGUCGGGUCUUGGUAGAAGACUACUUUUGAUUGAGAUACUCCUUGGUUUAAAUGUAGAACAAUUGAGUCUUGGUAGAAGAUUGCUUAUAAUUAGAAAAUGUAGGAUUUUUGGAAAGAAUUCUAACACUCUGUAGAUUCUAAACCACCACUUUUUCUGAGUUUAUUUUGAGGAAAAACAUGUAUUUAUACCAAUGUCAUUAAAUACUUAUGAACUCACCAACAUUUAAAAAUGUUGAUACUCGCUUUCAAAAUAACUUGUAUUCUAAGGUCAUCGGUAGACAGGUACACUCCGGGUGCUUUUGCGAAGACAGCCUUGUACCGAGCUGCACUCCAUGUUAUCCUCUGUAUUUACUUUGAUAUUAUUGUUAAAUGUAACCUAUGUAAAUUAUUACUAUUAAUGCAAUGAUUGAUGUACUUUGAUUACUAUACUACAUAUUUUGUGAUACUUGACAUGACGUCCUCCACCCCAGAACGUUUCCGCCGUUCCGGUUUUGGGUUUGACAGAUUGGUAUCAAAGCAUUGUUUAUAGUUAGCUUAGUAUAUCUAAUCAUAAAAGAUAUACAACCUAUAAAUACACUGGGAUAAAACACUCUGACCAAGAAUUAUACUUUAAAAUAUAACCAUAUUUUACAAAAGUAUAAGAACAUCCAGAAUCUAAAUACCCGAACAAAGUAUCACAAGAAGAACCAGAAUAAAAGUCUUUGGAUGUUGACCAUUACCGUCAAACCUGGGUAGUUAUGUAAUCGUAAGCUGGAAUAAAUGUAACCUGAUCAACUACAUUUAUUCGAUAUGCGACUAACGUGUGCUUGGGAGUGAUGGUGGUGUUGAAAAAAAAUCUGAAACUUACCAAAUAGGAAUGCUAGAGCCAAACAUAAAGAUUAAAAUACUAUGGGAGUAUUUUAGGAUACUAAAGGACUCACAUUAAUCCCAUAAUCAUAUUCAGAAGUUAAAAAUCAAACAUGUAAUUAAAAUACCAUGGGGGUAUUUGUUGGGUUUUGAGCAUUCUAACACUCCUAAGUGUACAUGCAACCCUAAAUACCUUGGAUCUAUGUUUUCUCUAUUAUACAUGCAAAUAAGAACUUCCAAGGUAUUAUCCUAAUCUAGCAUACAAAACAAUGACUAUAACAAGAUAGAAUACAUACCUCUUUGAUGUAGAAAGUCUUCAUGAAGCUUGAGUGCCUAGUGCCCCAAGUGUGACACCUCAAAUGGAAUCACAAUCAUCAAAACACUUGGAAUGACUUGAGAGAAUUCUACACUCUUCAAAAUCGGCUAGCCCUUUCUUCACUAUCACUAGUGGCCGAUUUUUCCUCAAUAAUAAGAUGCUUAUAUAGUUACACAAUUAGGGUAAACUCUUAAUUGUCAUGGCUUUCCAUUUCCUUGGAUCCAUGGGUACAAAUACACCAUGGAGCAUCCAUGGACCAUCCUAUGGGUUUUAGCCCAACUUGAUUAUCCAUGGAGCAUUAGCCCACUAUACAAGUAUGGAUGAUUUACACAAUCAACCCAUAUAUUUAAUUAGUCUUCUUUUGAUCACUUAAUUAAUCCUAGAUUAAUUCUUGAUCAAUACUAAUUAAAUAAUCUUAUUAUUCUUAUUAUUAAUAUACUAGAACUUAUAAUAUAUUAAUAACCAUAAGUGUCUUAUUUCUCUCAUUAUAGUCUAUCCAAGUGCAUGAUGGUAUGCAACCCAAAUGGACCAUGCCGGGUCGGGUCAAGUCUUACCAAUUAUAGUUAUGGACUUAGACAUUAAUCCAACAGUCUCCCACUUGGAUAAGUCUAAAACUAUUAUUGCGUAUGACUUCAGGAACCAACUGGCAAUCGUAGCUCUCAAAAGCUUCUGUCGAACUCUGACCUUGUAGAUGAACUCUGACCUUUGUCAAUGACUUGUCCAUUAGAUAAGGGAUCAUAUAUUCCUCCAUUCUAGAUAUCAUAUGGACUGAGACAUGGAUUAUAAUCAUUCUCUCUGUCCAUUUGUUGUUUCCCGAUUUCCGAUUUAUGACGACUGACUAAUUGAACAAAUCAAAUCAGUCCUGGCCCGGCCGAGCACUUCCAUUUGUCAUCAUCAAAUCAUCGAGGGGCCCACAGAUAUCGCUUUUAUCCCGAAGGUAAAAGGAAUGGAUAAACUUCGACUCAUAUGGCUUGUUCUACUACUUGUUGAAUCAUACACAAAGGCACGUUUUAUAGCACCGAGUUACCAAAUGCGUUUUCGUGCAAUCAAUGUACUAUCAACUCAUAGUAACAACUCAUAUCUCUAGGUUUGAAGAAUAUAAGAUAUUAUCGUCUCAUGAUCACUCGUGAUAAAAUCCAUGAAGUGAUUCCAAUGAGCGCGGGUUGAAUCCAAUACUCAGAACUUAUGAGCACUCAUGAGUGUUGUAGCCCUUUGUCCAACACCUUAGACCUCUACAAGCCAACCCAUGACAGUCUUAAUUCAUAUCUACUUCCAACAUAUGACCGACUGUGGAUGGUUUGAAUAACUUAGUCAUUCCGGAAGAA
RNAcentral lists this long non-coding RNA (58352 nucleotides) under Lactuca sativa (garden lettuce). RNAcentral describes it as "long non-coding RNA (LSAT_LNC000752)". The record is from RNAcentral. Lineage: Eukaryota; Viridiplantae; Streptophyta; Magnoliopsida; Asterales; Asteraceae.